This 70332-nucleotide long non-coding RNA is filed under the name Malus domestica (apple). RNAcentral's name for it is "long non-coding RNA (MDOM_LNC003322)". Lineage: Eukaryota; Viridiplantae; Streptophyta; Magnoliopsida; Rosales; Rosaceae. The record is from RNAcentral.
CAGCCAUCACUUAGCCACCAUAAAAAAUCGCUCGCUCACUCAACCGCGCUAUUAUUUUCGGCUUGAAACUGGUUUUUCCCUUGUUUAUUAACAUAAAACGUCUGGAACUGGUUUUUCCCUUGUUUAUUAACAUAUAAGGUGACAAUUAAGCCUCGGCGAUCUCAGCGGAUUCUGCAGCAGCUAGGAUCAGCUCCGGCUGGAUGCCUCCGACGUAUGAUCCAUCCAAUGCGUUGGGGAGUCCCAGUGCCUUCAAUGCCAAGUGAGCUGCCUUUUGCCCUGAGAUCAUCAUGGCUCCGAAUGUAGGUCCCUGCAUCCCCAAUAAUGUUACAAAUUAUAUUAUUAGGACUACGUUGAUAUCGACGGAUACCAAACCCACAAUGUUUAUAUCAAGUGGGAAUCUUAUUAGGACCACAUAAAGAUCUAGUAAUGGUACUAUUCCAAACAUAAAAGAACAGGAAAAGAAUGGAAGAGCUUUUGGACCCACGUUCUUUCGAAAUCACUAUGCAUGGAUUGAGGCUUAAGUAAUUCUACGGUCCUAAGGUGUUUUUGUUUCGUAAUUAAACGCCGAGGGGAGAGGCCACUGUCUAUCUACGCUGUGCAUUUACAUGUCAAAAUUCGAAGCUUAAAACUAGGACGUUAUGCUUGAUAAAUCAAAUAUUCUAAUCCUUAAUGUUUUAUCUAAAUCGUCUAAGCCCACCACCGCGAUCACCAUUUUGACUAAAUGUGAUCGCGAUGGCUUGAAGCGGUUGGAUAAAAUCAGCCAAGCACAGUAAUGGCUAUACCAAAAAGUAAAACAGUAAAUAAAUCAAGAACAAAUGGAAUGAGUCAGAAAUGUACCAUUCUUGGGGAUCCAUCAAUCUCGGCAACUUCCAUGCCGGUGACGAUCAUUCCUGGCACAAUUUCCCUUGUGAGCUUCACGAUAGCAUCCUCAGCUGCGUUCAUGUCCAAGGCCUUCAUCCCGGGCACGCUCUCAAUCAUCCCAACGCUCCUCAGCCUCUUUACGCCGGUGGCUCCCAUGGGUCCGUCAUGACCACAUGAGCUCACCACAACCUUGGCCUCCAUGACGUUGGGGUCCAUGCACGACUGUGUGUCGUGGUUCAUUGAGACCAAGGCCCAGUUGGUGACCACCCCACCAACUCUGCCACCCUUAAUGAUCAAGUCCUCGGCGGCCACAGCGUUGAAGAGCUUCACGUUGGGCCGGGCAAGGAGCUUGCUCAUGAUGGUGGAGGUGAAUAGGGCGGCGUGCUUGAUGACAACGUAGUUGUCUUGCUCAUCGUAGUCAAUGCCGAGCUCGUUAAGGAAGAGAUGGGCGGGUUUGCGCACAACCUAUAUAUGUCAACAUAUAAAUUAAAUCUUAAGUACUACAAAAUAUAAGACAAAAUAUUUUCAAAAUUUUCAAGUUAGAACAUUGAAAUAUUUUCGAAAUUUAUGUUGCUUUCCAAAAUUGUACUUUUAAUUUUCAUAGCAUUCAUUUCUCACUAGAACAUUUAACCAAAUAUAAGGCCAACCCAUUUAACGGAAUAAGACUUGGUUGCAAUUGUUGUAAUGUUAACUAAAUAGCGGGAUUAUCUCGCUUCCAUAAAUUCACCAUAAUCAAGCAAUCUAAUUGUGAUUCAUUAGUGCAUAGAUGAAAUCUAUAUAUAUUGUAUAUUUGGAAUUAAUUAAUAAGGAAUUACUUUUCUACAAAAUAUACAAAAUUUGUUUGAUUUACGAAUGAAAAUACAACAAUAUCAAACUAUUUAAUUAAUUACAAAAAUGGAAAUAAAGAAAUAAAUUACAAAAAAUAAAUUAACGAAUAUUUAUGCAAAUAAAAACAGACAUGCAUAACGAUACAGGUCAAAUUAUCCAAACAAGAUGGGGCAUGCGCGACACGUGUCACAGUCAAACGUUUCAUUCAUUUUACCGACAAACAUGAAUUUCAAAUUAACAAACAAUUUCCCAGAAAAAAGGCCAAAAAUUAAGCACCCGGAAACCUUAAACGACCAAAAAUGAUAAUUAAACUACAACAAAUCAUUAAUUAAAAGUUUCAAUAACUUUCCAAAAAUAUUAAAAUUAAUCAUAAAUGACAGUAAUUACCAUGGCAGAGAAGAGCUGGCCACCGAGCCAUGCACCUCCACCGGGGCUGACGGACUGCUCGAUGAUGGCGACCUGAACGUCGGGGUUCUUGCUGAGUUCGUAGGCGCAGGAUAGCCCGGCGGAGCCAGCACCGACGACAACGACGUCGGUGUCGGCGUAGGUGAUCAUGUCAGUCAUGUAGCGCCUUGUCAUCUCCCGGGAGACGAUGGAUUCCUUGAUGGGGUCGAACUUGAAAGCGCUCAAGUCGUAGGAGGGGGUCAAGCCGUUGGCGGACAUGGAGACGGAGAGGCCGCCGUUGUUGGCGGGGGCCGCCUUGGCCAGCUGAAGGCGGACCAUGGGAGCGCCAUGGAAGGAGGAGUCGAGGAGGGAGGACUUCUGGAGCUUGGCGGUGAGGGAGGAGGAGGUGAGGGUGGAAGCCAUGGUUGCCAUUGAUUGAUGCGAGAGAAGGAGAGAGAGGGAGAGAGAGAGAAGAUGAUAAGAUGGGGUGAUUUGGGGGUUUAGCGUUUGCAAGUCAGAAGAUGGAAGUGAAGAGAGUGGUUAUUUAAGGAGGAGGGUGACGUAUAUGUAAAAUUGAAGAUGGACACGUGGGAAGAGGAUAGGAUAUGAAGGGUCUAGAACCUCUUGGGAGGUACAAGUGGCAAGCAUGAACCAGUCCACGGUGUGUGUUUGAGUGUGAGGAGAGUGAAUAGAGAGGGAAAUGUUAGAUGACAAAGUUUAUAAGGGAAUUGCUAAGGCUAUUAUCUUGAAUGUGAUUUUCUACGAAUUUUCUGUCAUUUUAUGUUUUUGAUACAAUUCUUAUGUUAAUGUUAUAAAAUUUUGUGCCAAGAAUAUGAGGUGAUAGAGAGUUCAUAGGAAGUCUUACUUUGAAACAGUCUCCUUAGUAUUUCUCAAUUUGUAAACCAAAUGAUUAGAUUGUUGAUGAUCAUUUUAUUACUCAAGUGUUGAUUAAUGUGUUUAAUUUCUACUGAAAAUAUGACUUUAGCUCUUGAAACUCAAGUUUCUUUACAUAAAACCCGACAUAGUCUUUUUAUCUAAAUAAAACCUAAUGACUACGCUCCACAUAAGCAAAGUCAUUAAUUCUAUUUGCCUUUACACAUUUUGCAUUUUUUUAGAUGCCUAAAACACCCCUAAUUAAAGUUUUAAUGUAUACAUUAAAUUCUAUGCAUAUUUGAAGGGAGGGGUUAAUGAAAAAAAAAUGCAUUAAUGUUUAAAAUCACUGCAUAUUAAUAUAUCAUAACAAAUUGUAUGUUAAUGCUUCUUGGAACAAAAAAAAAGCACUAAUGUUAUACUUUCCUUAAGAUUUUGUAAUUGUUUUUCAAAUUUGCCUAAAAUUUGACAGUUUUAAUUUGAUCUUGUCAUUAUCUUACCCAAAUUGUGACAUCCCACAUCGCCCAGGGGAGUAAUCCUUAAAUGUAUAUUCUCAUCCCUACUUAACACGAGGUCUUUUGGGAGCUCAUUGGCUUCGGGUUUCGUAGGAACUCCGAAGUUAAACACUCCCAGGAUGGGUGACCCACUAGGAAGUUGCUCGUGAGUUCCCAAAAACAAAACCGUGAGGGAAUGGUAAGCCCAAAGCGGACAAUAUCAUGCUACGGUGGUGGAACGGGCUUGGGAUGUGGUGGACCCGGGCCGGGAUGUGACAAAUGGUAUUAGAGCCAAUCCCUGGCCGGAAGUGUGAUGACGAGGACGUCGGGCCCCUAAGGGGGGUGGAUUGUGACAUCCCACAUCGCCCAUGAGAGUGAUCCUUAAAUGUAUAUUCUCAUCCCUACCUAGCACGAGGAAUUUUGGGAGCUCAUUGGCUUCUGGUUCCGUAGGAACUCCGAAGUUAAGCGAGAAGGAGGCCAGAGCACUCCCAGGAUGGGUGACCCACUGGGAAGUUGCUCGUGAGUUUCCAAAAACAAAACCGUGAGGGAAUGGUAAGCCCAAAACGGACAAUAUCGUGCUACGAUGGUGGAACGGGCCCGGGAUGUGGUGGACCCGGGCCAGGAUGUGACACAUAUGAAAAUCUGAAAGGGCACUAUAAAAUUUAUCCAGUAAUAAUACAUGCAAAAUAAUUUACUUAUAAAAUUAAAGAAAUGUUAUUUGAUUCAAAAGAAAUUUAUCUAUAUUUUAUAUAAUAAUAUAGGUGAAUCAUUGCACAAAUAUAUAUUAGGAAAAAAAUGUGCCCAAUAUAUAUAUAAUGCAUACAAAUAAUUCACCUACAAAUAAAGGAAAUUUGGUUAAAAAUAAUAUAUUUACUACUUUCAAUUUUCCUAUUUUUUUUUUUUUUACAAACAUAAUGUACCUACAAUAUAAUUUACCUAUUGUUUAAUCAAAUAAAAACAUAAGGUAUCUAUUGUUUCAUUUUAAUGGUGAUAAUUUGUCUUGGUUUAGUUUUUACGAAAUAAUUUAGGCACUGUUUAACUUGACCAAAAUAAUGUAACUACCAUUUUAAUUUACCUAGAAAAUAAAUGCUAUUUGAUUCUGUUUGGACCCAAUUUUACGCCAUCGGCCCAAGCAAUCGAGGCCGUUGAGUAAACAUGAUUCUUAAUCGUCGGAUAAGAAAGUUAAGAUAAUUUGCUAUUGUUAAGAGAUAAUAUGAUGGUUUUUAAUCAUAAUAAUUAUCUUUUAAUAAAUUAUCUUAGUUUUCUUAUACAAAAUAAAUUAGAGAGAUUCUUGGACUCUUAACUUGGCCUAACAUGGAUCUGCAAGCCGAAGAUAAUGGUGGAUAGGACCUAAGCGGGCUAGGAUGUUGUCAGAUGAUGGAAGACUUGCAUGCCGUGUGAAAAGCUACAAGUUGUAUAUAUAUGUAGGCUGUAUAGUUUGCAUGCCCAUCAACCUAUGUCGUGCAAAAAUCUCCCAGACUAUAUAGUUAUAUAUAUAUAGAUAAUGGUGGUUAUUUUGAUGGGAUUAAGCUUUGAUUGAUGUGAUAAGGUCUAAGGCGUGAAUGUAGGUGCAUAAAAGAUAAAGUGGUUAGAGUUUCAUUUAUUAUGAUUAUGCAUAGGAUAAAUGAGUGGUCAGCAGCAACAGUUAGAGAGUUGAAGUCACGAACUACAAUAUGAGGAUAUGCUUGUCUUUAGACGCGGAUCAACUUCAGGAAUUAGAGUUGCAAUUAAACUCUACAAUACUAUCAGACCUUGCCAAGCAGAAAAAUGAAUACUAUAAAUACAAGACUCGGUGCAACAUUCAAAGGACCUCCAAUUCAACACACAAAACUGCCCUGCGUAAACCCUCUCAACAACUUUGAGAUUUUUUAUUUUCUUUUUCACCGGCACAUCUUCAGUUGGCAUAAAUAGCAUUGUGGAGACAACCGGUGAUAUCUUCAGUUGGCAUAAACAGCACUGUUGCCGUAGAAUCAGCCGAUCUCGCAGCAUCUUCAGUUGGCAUAAAUAGCACUGUGUCGAGGCCGACUGGUUACCUAUCUAAGUCUCGGUCGAGAAGGAUUUUCGAAUCCUUGUUGGUCUAGGUCAUCUCAUCAGCCUUCUCGGCGAAGUGAGGUGUUACGAGUUACUACAUUCGGCACAUUGGAAGCCGAAUUUGAUAUUGAACUUCGUUAAGUUAGCAACCUUGUCUUCAGGCUCUAGAACCCGAAGGCCGAGACAAGUUCCUUCCUCGACCGCAAUCGCAAGAUGCAGAAGUCAACUGCGCACCCAACGCAACAUCAACAUAUUUUACUCUUCAACCGAGCUCGGCCGACGAGUUGGCACACCCCGUACACAACCAAAUGACGUAGUUAGCUUAUAGAUUACUCGGCAUGCGUGCCACGUAGGUUUGGUAGAUUUUAGGGUCAACAUUUUGGCACGCCCAGUGGGACCCAGUGCUAAAACUACAAAGUUCACAUGAUAUAUCAAGAUCACGAUCGGGAUGAGAUUUAGCGCCUAUUCAAGGAAAUUGUCGAGCAACAAAAACGCCUUGGCCAGAUCAUUGAAGCAAAUGAAGAAAGGCGAAAAUCUUUCUCUCAAAUGAUAAAGGUGAAGGUUCAUCACAGCUUACAAGAUCAAUGGUUAAAUGAAGAUAGAGCUCAAUAUUAUGAAUGGAUCGAUAAGAAAAUGCUUAUUGGGUUCAAAUCAAUUCCAUUUGAAGAAUGGUUGGAUCAAAAAGUCGGGGGGCAAAUUUCCGCUCCGGCCACAAUCAAAAUUUGGCCUCAGAACAUUGUCGAGACGGCCGAAGAAAAACCUAGGCCACCUGUUGUCUCGAUCGAGAUUGAAAGUGUGGUAGGCCUAGAAGAAAAAAUUUAAGUUUCUGAGCCACAAAUCUACUUAGAAAAUGAUUCGUCAAAUGAGUGCUCCAAUGACGAACAAGGCCGAGACAUAGGCUUAGCCAGAAAAACCGCGCCAAUUGAUAUGAUUAUUGGUGAUAAAGCCGAUAAGGAGAAAUCUCAUUCGGUCAAGUUAUUUGAAUUAAAAGCCGAAAUUAUGCCUGGGGGCAUAAUAAUUGUUCAACACAUUGGUGGCCAAAAAUGAAAAAUAUUUCACCAAGUUAGAAAUAUUUGGAGAUGAUCUUUUAUUCAGCUUUGGAAAAUGUCAAAGUGAAAAUUUUGAUGUAAAAAGAACUUGGCUUGGAAUAAAACAUCGUUGGCCUCCUCCUCUUGAUAGCUCGGCCACUUUUGUUUUCUUUUAUUAAGAAAAGGAAUAAAUUAUUUUCUUAAUCAUCUGGCUAAUUAAGCUGAUGCAUAAGAAAAUAAGGGGGCAAUGUCCAAAAGGAAUAGAUUUUGGCUGUCUAGGCCGAGGCAGUCUAGGCCGAGGCAGAUUCAGGUAAUCGGAUGUUUAGGCCGAGGUAAUCUUUUUUGCCGAGCUCGGCGAAAUUGGAUGCGUGCAUGCGAAUUUUUUCCUAAUGAUGGUAGACUUAUUCAACAAAAGUGGAUAUUUAAUUAGAUAUAGGCUUUAGCCUAUGGAUGUGGCUAAUGGGGAAUUGUCAGAAUACCAUUGGAAAGACAAAUAUAUAUAUUUUAUAUAAGUAAGACUCAGCCAUGAGGUUUUAUAGUCGAAGUUGGGUUGUCAAAUCCAAGAGUUAGGAUAUUUAAUGAGCUUCGGCCUUGGAUCAGUAUAUAUAUAUAUAGGCGCUGCCAAGAAAAAUUCUUCUAGACCUUGGUUUAGGUUUUCUCGGCCUCAGCCUGUUUUACCCUUUACCCCAAUUCUUUUCUACCCCUUCCCGAAUUCUUCUCGACCUUCUGGAGAGUUGCCGAGCCUGGUAUAGAGUUGCAGCAGUCGAGGAGGGCCGUGGCGUUGGCAGAACAUACAUGUUAUUUCCGAGGAACAAAAUUUGUUUCGGCAAUACAACGAAAUGUUGUCGGCUACGAACAGUUAAUUUCCUUAACCAUUCAGUUUACGAGCCGAAGCUCAAGGAAACUGGGAGGCAAUGUUUGGACCCGAUUUUACGCCAUCAGCCCAAGCAAUCGAGGUCGUUGAGUAAACAUGGUUCUUAAUCGUCGGAUAAGAAAGUUAAGAUAAUUUGCUAUUGUUAAGAGAUAAUAUGAUGGUUUUUAAUCAUAAUAAUUAUCUUUUAAUAAAUUAUCUUAGUUUUCUUGUACAAAAUAAAUUAUAGAGAUUCUUGGACUCUUCACUUAGCCUAACAUGGAUCUGCAAGCCGAAGAUAAUGGUGGAUAGGACCUAAGCGGGCUAGGAUGUUAUCAGAUGAUGGAAGACUUGCAUGCCGUGUGAAAAGCUAUAAGUUAUAUAUAUAUGUAGGCUGUAUAGUCUGCAUGCCAUCAGCCUAUGCCGUGCAAAAAUCUCCCAAACUAUAUAGUUAUAUAUAUAUAUAUAUAUAUAUAUAUAUAUAUAUAAUGGUGGUUAUUUUGAUAGGAUUAAGCUUUGAUUGAUGUGAUAAGGUCUAAGGCGUGACUGUAGGUGCAUAAAAGAUAAAGUGGUCAGAGUUUCAUUUAUUAUGAUUAUGCAUGGGAUAUAUGAGUGGUCAGUAGCAACAGUUAGAGAGUUGAAGUCACGAAUUACAAUAUGAGGAAAUGCUUGGCUUUUGACGCGGAUCAACUUCAGGAAUUAGAGUUGCAAUUAAACUCUACAAUAUUAUCAGACCUUGCCAAGCAGAAAAAUGAAUACUAUAAAUACAAGACUCGGUGCAACAUUCAAGGGACCUCCAAUUCAACACACAAAACUGCCAUGCGCAAACCCUCUCAACAACUUUGAGAUUUUUUAUUUUCUUUUUCGUCGACACAUCUUCAGUUGGCAUAAACAGCACUGUAAAGGCAACCGGUGAUAUCUUCAGUUGGCAUAAACAACACUGUCAUCGUAGAAUCAACUGAUCUCGCAACAUCUUCAGUUGGCAUAAACAACACUGCGUCGAGGCCGACUGGUUAUCUAUCCAAGUCUCGGUCGAGAAGGAUUUCCGAAUCCUUGUUGGUCGAGGUCAUCUCAUAAGCUUUCUCGGCGAAGUAAGGUGUUACGAGUUACUACAUUCGGCACAUUGGAAGCCGAAUUUGAUAUUGAACUUCGCUAAGUUAGCAGCCUUGUCUUCAGGCUCUAGAACCCGAAAGCUGAGACAAGUUCCUUCCUCUGCCGCAAUCGCAAGACGCAGAAGUCAGCCGCGCACCCAACGCAACAUCAACAUAUUUUACUCCUCGGUCGACGAGUUGGCACGCCCCGCACACAAUCGAAUGACGUAGUUAGCUCAUAGAUUACUCGGCAUGCGCGCCACAUAGGCUUGGUAGAUUUUAGGGUCAACAGAUUCAAAAUUAAUUUACUUAUAUUUUACUAUAAAUAUAGAUAAAUUAUUUUUAACAUGCAUAUAUAAUAACAAAUAAAAAAUGCCUAAUCUAUGUAAAAUAAUUUACCUACAACAUAAAGAACAUUAAUUGGUUUUAUUUUUUAUUUUUUAUCAAACAAUAUUAUUUGAUGCAAAAUAACUGAUUAUACAAAGGAUUUUCAUUUUUCAUACGAAAAAUGUGCCCAUAAUUGUUUAUGAAUAUGGAUAAAUUAGUGUAUAUAUAUACAUGUUACUAAUAUUUAUGAUACAAGAAAGGUAAAUUUCCAUAUGGGGUUAAUUGCUAAUCAUAAUUAGGGUGAGUAAUAAUAUUUAUUGACAUAAUUAGGGUUUUGUGGCAUAAGUUGUAAAUAUGUUGUAAUAAUUGGUUACAUAUUUGUCUACAUGGUAGUCUAUUUGAAUUUUGGGUUUUAUUUGAAUAUUUAUUACUGGGUGGGUUUUUGUUUGGAAAAUAGGAGUUUCAAGGGCCUUUAUCUAAAGAACUGACACACCCCGAUCCUAGAAUCAAGGUGUGCUGGCCGUCACGUGAGCGUGACGUAACCAAAAGAGCGAUACGGAAGUAAAAGAUAAAAGAAAUACGAAGGAAUAAAAACCAACUACUAGCAAUAAUAUCCAACUAACAUGCUAGAGUGAGUUUAAGUGUGAAACACACAUAUUCAGAGCAUAAGUACUAAGUGCAGUCAAGUAGAACCAUUACUAAAUUACAACACCCGAAAGUGAGUCCUACAUUUAAGUGGUCUAUCAUAACGCCAUGGGAAUCCUCGUGAGCCACCAACAUUGCUAACUAGAACCUGGAGGGGGCAAAACAAGAUUGAGUGGGUCAGUAAAACAAAUCUUUUUCAAAAACAUUAUCUUUUUUCAAAGGUUCUAACCCCUCGCCGUAAAACCUAUAACUUUCCCAGGAAUAUAAAAAUAUAAUUACUUAUCUCAAAACCAGCUCAGAAAUAGUGAUAUGUAAAGUAUAUGCCAUGUUAAAUAUAUUUCAUCAUAUCAUAAGUAUAUCAGUGAAGUUCAUCAUAAAUAAUAACAUGUCAACCGAGUGAUCAGCCCGGCUGAAACUAUAGCUCAUAAUCAAUCUCAUCAAUCAAUCUAGCCGGAGUCACCACAAGUGACCUGUACGGCACUACACUGCACAUAAAUCGGAACUACCUGAAGUAGUCUAUACGACAAGAAUGGUGUAAGAAUACGCUCUAGUGCUUCUCUCAUCAACAGCUGUAUAAUAAUUUAAAGUCACCUACAAGUCGAAACCACCUCUAAUGGUCUGUACGACAUGUCAGAACCACCUCUAAUGGUCUGUACGACAUGCCCCUACUUGGAUCCAAGGUGAGCGUGUGGUGCGGGGUGAAUAAUAUAAGCACUAACACCAGGGGUGCAGGUUAUGAGCUCUCAACAUAAUUUACAUCAUCAACAGUCUCAUAAUUUUAAUUUAUGAACUUACCUGGCACUUACCUGUGCGUCUGUAUCACCAAUCAUGCAUGUAUGCAAUUACUAAUGCAUAAAUAAAAUAGAUAUAUAUUUUGCAUGGCAUUUCAUAACGCAUUUCAUAUCACAUUUCACUUAAAUUGAUUUUCUGGGAAAAAUCUCAUUUAUAUAGGUAUAUACAGAAAAUAAAACUGCCCACUCACCUGGAGUUCACCCUACAACUCCCUAGCACAGCACAUCAAGGCGUCAUGACGAUCGGCGCCUAGAAUAAUCAUCAAGACAUGUCUCAGAAAUCAUAUCGAUAGAACAUAACUUAUAUAAAACACGUCACUAUGUAGAUCGAUCCGGAAAAUCUGCAACUCAGAUUUCUGAUCUGAAACUUCCAGAGAUCUACCUCUAGGACAACAUCCUAAAAUUUCAUUACCAUCCAACGAUCGGAUCUCCGUCAAUUGCCAAAACCAAGUAACGGUUAACAUAUUAUAAUAUGAACUUACAACUCCAAUUCCGAAAGAUCCGUAAAUCGGAUUCCCAAUCCGUAAGUUCCUAUAAUCCUCAAAUAUUACGUAUUACAAGGUAUCAAAGUUUGGUGACGAUCCAACAGUCAGAUCGUCAAUUCACAUUUUCACCUAACCACGAAUCGAAACGAACUUAGGUUCAAUUACUCAAUUUACGUCAAUCAAUUAUCAAAAUUGAACCUAGAACAUUAAACACAUGCUAAGAAUGACAUUGACAGGCCACUGGCCACGCGCCGCCGCACUGGCUCGCCGGUAAAUCCAACUAUCUCAAAAAAUUACCAAAAUUUAUAGAAAUGAAGAUCUCAAUGAGUAGAGUAAACUUUAUACCUGUGGCCAAGGCCAAUUUGGCCUGGAAAGGCUCCAAUUUCAUCAAACCCGUGAAGAACCCUAGAAAUGGGUGUUUUCAAUUCGACCUCCAAAACCACUCCGAUGCUCCAACUAAUGCUUGGGCUUUGUUCUAGGUCCUAAGGGAAUGCUAAUGGUGUUAGUAAUUGAAAGAAAACGCUUCAAGAUUUGAAGAAUUAGUAAACUAAGCCACCGCACACACCAUACGGUUUCAUCCAAUUUCAAGGCCAAAUUCUUUGAUUUUUUGGGUGUAAUAGGAAGAGGGAAGAUCAUAGACGGUUUUCCAAGUGAUGGUUUGAAGUAACUCACUGGAAAAAUGAAGAAAUUUUGACGGAAACGGGUGGAAAACCCACCGGGUCGCGCGGGUCAUGGGUUGAAAACCCAUUUCUGUCUUCUUCCUCCGUUUCUCGCCCUCUCUCCUUUCCUCCUUUUCCCUUCUCUGAUUGGCCAGAAACUUCUCUCUCCUUUCCCCAUUCGCCCAGCUUCUCUCCCGAAACUUUCCUGGAGCUGUCUUCUUCUUCCUUCUGGUUGGGCAGUUUUGCCCGACCCUCUUUCUUCUUUUCUCCACCAGUCACGCGCACACACACAUACACAAAACUUUCCUUCAUCUUUUUAUUUAUUUUUUAUUUCCUUUCCCUUACAUCCAAGCCAUCCAUUUCAGAUUUCCUUUAAUCUGGGCCAUCCAAAUGGCACACCAAAAUUUUAUAAUAAAAUUCAUAAAAUGCCCAAACUUCAAACUUUAAAAUCUUUUUCGUUAUAACUCCAAAUCACAAACCAUCUGCGCCCACGCUUCCAUAGUGACGAAUACUACAAGGAUAUGUCAAUAAAACAAAUCUUGGAUGGCAUGACACAACAAUUAACCUCGAAUAAUGUGCGUGCCUCAAAGGGCAUUUUGUAAAAUCCUUUAUUAAAACUUUAAAAACUCUUAAAAUCAGGGACGGGCUGUCACAAGAACCCUAUUUUCUAUUGAUUGUAAACUUGGUUUAAAAAUGGUCUCUCUGAACAGAUAUUCAUAUCAGAAAUGAAUAUAUUGGGGGAAAGGGAUCCUCUUCGGAUCCCUUCCACUUAAUCAUCCUCAUCAAACAAUUUAGGCCCUUGACAUUUGAUCAAACGACUAAAUGAUAGGAGAUACAAGUGGCAAGCAUGAACCAGUCCACAAUGUGUGUUUGUGUGUGAGGAGAGAGAAUAGAGAUGGAAAUGUUAGAGACCAAAUUUGUAAGGAAAAUGACAAGAAGAUUAUCUUAAAUGUGACUUUCUAUGAACUUUCCACUAUUUUAUGUUUUUGAUACAAUUUUUGUGUCAACGUUAUAAAAUUUUGUGCCAAGAAUAUGGAAUGACAAAGAGUCCAUGAAGAGUCUUACUUUGAGCAAGAUAGUCUCCUUAGCAUUUCUCAAUUUGUAAACUAAAUCUUGUAAACCAAAUGAUGAAAUUGUUGAUGAUUAGUUUAUUACUCAAGUGUUGAUUAACGUGAUUAUUUUCUAUUGAUUGUAAACUUAAUUUAAAAAUGGUUUAACUGAAUAGAUAUUCAUAUUCGAAAUGAAUAAAUUGGGCUCUCACGGUUGACUGUUUAGCCAAAUAAAGUUGGCAACAUUUAAAGAAAAUCAACAUUCUUACCUAAAGAGAGUGGUAUGAGAAAUAUUUGGUUGUCGCUGCUUGUGAGAUCUUUUUCACAUGUGGAUGGGGGGAGGGGGGGUGCAUUUGAUACUAUAAUGAAGUUUUUGUCAUUGUCAUUGAGACGGAAAGACGUAAUAUCUUUACCUUUCCUGUUUGGGCGAAACAACUUUUUUAAUUGCAUGUUUUUCUGGGACCAAGCCAACUGCAAAUAUCGUGAAAUAUCUAAAGUAAGCGUCUUGUUUGGACCUUUUGUUUUUGGAACUUUAACGAAAAACACCCGGUACUGUUCACUUUAACGAAAAAUCAUAUUUUUAUACUAAAAAGUCAAUCCUGGUACUAUUCACUCUACCCUUUAUUUUGUUCUUAUCAUUAAAACUCAAAGUUUUCAAACUCUUUUCAUUAGGUUUUUUUUUUUUUAGUGUUAUACUUUCUUAUUAGAGUGUUUAUUUCUAGGUUUAGGGUUUUGUUUGUGAAGAAAAUUGAGGUUCCAAUAUAGAAUUUAUUCUCAACAGUUUGGACUCGAAUUUCUUAUAUUAUUGGCUCGUAUGUUUGGAGCUGCUAAGUUGAAAGAAGAUCAAGAAAAUUUUCAAUCAUUUUUUUAGAUACUAUUGUGGUUUUAAUAGUCAUGGUAUUGUCUGAAAAUUAUUGGCAAUUAUCUUGAAAAUGCAAGGAUAUUUAAAGAGCCUGGGAGAUUGAAAUGUCAUGGGAUUUUAAGAAUAUGAGGGUCAAACUUGACUAGCCAUGGGGAAAUUAUCUUGAUAGUUUGAUAGCAAACUGUCAAGAUAAUGUGAUUAGCUUGUAGGCUUGUACGUCGAUGUCAUAGCAAAUUGCAUUAAGAUAAUUUUAAAAGUUGAAUUGGCUAAUCAAAGAUGUGAUAAAAGAUGGCAAAAUAAUGAUCACAUCACUUCCUUGGUGAUUUUACACGCUGCUUGUUCCAAUAGCAUCAAUUGCGUGCUGCUAGUAAUUGUUGGAUUUUUAGAUCGUCAGCUCUGUUUCACUCUAACGAUAUCGAUACUGUCCUCAUCUUUACCACCUGCCCAAUUGGUCAAGUGUGGGGUUGGAUUUUUAGAUCGUCGGCUCCGUUCCACUUUAACGACACCGAUAUUGUCCCCACUUGCCCAAUCCGUUGUUCCAAUAGCAUCAAUUGCAUGCUGCUUGUAAUUGUUGGAUUUUUAGAUCGUCAGCUCUGUUUCACUCUAACGAUAUCGAUACUGUCCUCAUCUUUACCACCUGCCCAAUUUGUCAAGUGUGGGGUUGGAUUUUUAGAUCGUCGGCUUCGUUCCACUUUAACGACACCGAUACUGUCCCCACUUGCCCAAUCCGUUGUUCCAAUAGCAUCAAUUGCAUGCUGCUUGUAAUUGUUGGAUUUUUGGAUCGUCGGAUUUGUUUCACUCUAACGACACCAAUACUGUCCCCAUCUUUACCACCUGCCCAAUCUGUCAGGUGUGCCAUCUUUAUCACAAAAUGCCUCUGUAUUAGUUAGAGUAGGGUAAUAAUACUAUUUAAACCUAUUGUGGAGAUCCAUAGCUUAUCUGAUGUGGGAUUCUUAAUACUUCUUCUCAUGUGUAACCUCAUUUAGUGGUUCACAUGUGGAGAUUCACGUCGGUAAUUGCAAGGGCCCGAAACCGUGGGCUCUGAUAUCAUGUUGGAAUUUUAGAUCGACAGGCCCGCCUCACUCUAACGACACCGAUAUUGUCCCCAUCUUUACCACAUGCCCAAUCCAUCAAGUGUGGGGUUGAAUUUUUAGAUCAUCGGCUCCGUUCCACUUUAACGACACUGAUAUUGUCCCCACUUGCCCAAUUCGUUGUUCCAAUAGCAUCAAUUGCAUGCUACUUGUAAUUGUUGAAUUUUUAGAUCGUCGGUUCCGUUCCACUCUAACGACACCGAUAUUGUCCCCAUCUUUACCAUCUGCCCAAUCCGUCAGGUAUGAGGUUGGAUUUUUAGAUCGUCGGAUCUGUUCCACUCUAAUGACACCGAUAUUGUCCCCAUCUUUACCACAUGCCCAAUCUGUUAGGUGUACCAUCUUUACCCUAUCUUUACCACCUGUCAAAUCUAUCAGAUGUGCCAUCUUUACCACAAAAUGUCUCUGUAUUAGUUAGAGUAGGGUAAUAAUACUAUUUAAACCCAUUGUGGAGAUCUACAGCUCAUCCGAUGUGGGAUUCUUAAUACUCCUCCUCAUGUGUAACCUCAUUUAAUGGUUCACAUGUGGAGAUUCACGUCAGUAAUUGCAAGGGCCCGAAACCGUGGGCUCUGAUACCAUGUUGGAUUUUUAGAUUGACAGGCCCGCCUCGCUCUAACGACACCGAUACUGUCCCCAUCUUUACCACAUGCUCAAUCGGUCAGGUGUGAGGUUUUACCACAAAAAACCUUGGUAUUAAUUAGAGUAGGGUAAUACUAUUUAAACCCAUUGUGGCACUUUAUCCCCACCGAUGUGGGAUUAUUAACAGUAAUUAUCAUGUGGUAUGAAGUUUUAGGAAGCAUGGUGCAGUCGAAAUUGCUUGUAUAGUUUAUCAUCCAAGGCAUACAUGUCUCUAUAAUAUACCGCACAACGUGAAAAGGACUUUCAAUUCAACCAUCAAUGCUCUGUGAAACCCUUCACAAUCCUGCGUGAAAAAUACAAACGGAUUUACUAUCAGUCAAACACAUAUAGCGUUUGGUUAAACAAAUUUGAGUUGGCAGCCGAUGCAAAUUCAGUUUGGUUAGAUAUGUUUGGGUUGGCAACCAGCAAAUAUGACAGUUUGGUUAAACAGCACCAGAGUUGUAGAAUUUAUCCAGUUUAGGAGUCUUGACAGUCUGAUUAAACAAAAAGUUUCCUAAGUUCGACUGGCUAUCUAACCCAAAUCUUUGCCGACGAACACAUUGGUCAUGGAGGAGGUGCUUCGUUGUAGAAACUGCGCUGAUUCGGGAAAGAGAGGAAUCCGUAGGAUGAGAACAGUGGCGGAUCCAGGAAAUAAUGUUUGGGGGGUCAAUAAGGAUAGCGCGCAGUGCGUAAAUUUUUUUUAACAGAAACGGCAUGCAUAUUGUCAUUUCAUCGAGUCUUGGUAGGAUAACGCGACCAGCUACUCCAAAAUCCUUGUUCAAAGGUCCUAAACGUUCAAACCUGGAGGAAGAGAUUGCUUCAACUUGUCGGCCUUCUCGGAAUCAAACACACAAAGUGUGUAAAGGUACUUGGAGCACCGAACCUUGAACUUGACAGCAUCCUUGGUCCUUUUGAUUUUGACAUUGCGGGCAUCCUUCCUUCUUGCAGUUAGAAGGAAAUCCUUGAUCUUAUGGAUCUGCUUCGGCAUUUUGCUUGUUGCUCGGUCGAGACCGGAGGCUGCGUGUUCUCUCUCAAAGUCCGCUUAUCUCUAUUUUGAUGUUUCCUGGUAUGAACUACCAGUACACUCUGAUUUCAAAUAGUUCUGAAAACAGAAGUACUUCUGGUGGAAGUGAUAAUUCCAAUCCCACAAGUUCCUUGAAUAUAAAGAGAUUUUGUUAUGUACUCUCAAGAGAAGUGCGAAAUCAUGCAUUUGAUCUCAAAUACUCAAGUCGUUGCUCUCCUGCCAAGAACUGCACUCAUUUGUUCGCAUCUGAUUUGGCUCGUGUUGUUUCGUUGAAGCCUAUCGAGUGUCUGAAAGAUGCGAAAAGGUUGAGAUUUCUGGUGGAAUUUGUAGACAGCAACAACGUCUGGUAUCGAAGGCCAUUCGAUCUCAAUACAACUUUGAUUGGAGAAGGCUCAUGGGAUGCAGAGACAAAUCAGCUGUCUUGUGUUGCAUGUCGAUUCUUGGAUGCAGCAGGUUCUUGGAACAAUACUCGUGUUGGUGAUUGUUCAACAAGAAUUACCUUGAGGUUUCCUGCUUAUGGACAAUCGGGAAGACAAGUAGCAUGGCAGGGGAGAUUUGGAGCAACAAAAAUGUCACAGAGUUGGGUUACUUUGAAAAGAUCAUGUUAAAAAGUCCUCAGGAUGACAUCGGAAAGGUUCUGAUUCCUGGUGUGAAGUAUGAGUACACCAAAACCUAACAAGUAAGCAAUUUGUCUUCAACCACCCCAGCCGAGGAGUUCUUUCAGACCUUUCGUCGAACACUUGAUGUGCAGCUAAGGGGUCUCACCAACAGCUCCAAGGGUCGCACCAGCAGCUCCAAGGGGUCUCUAAGGUUGUUUCCAUGGCUUCCAAGGGGUCGUGUGACCCCAUUGACCCCAUUGUGGAUCCGCCACUGGAUGAGAAGGAGGCAGAGGUUGAAGGGACCAAGGAGAGGAAAGGAGCGGAGAAAGGAUAUGCGGUGGAGAUGUAAGGCCCAAAUCGAUUUUUUAAUUUUAUAAUAUUUUUUAUUUGGUUUAAAAUAACUAACAAUUUUUUAUUAAUUUUUUGUCUAAGUGGUUAAAAUUUGGAUCCUCCUGACCAAGACCAAAUCCAACGGUUACAAACAAGAAGAUCGUUUUAAAAUUAUGAUAAUUAUAAUCUUUAGAUGAAAAUUCAACGGCCCUGUCUUGAUCAAGAGAAUCAUUUCCUUGGGCUCAGGGGAGGAUCCAAAUUUCUUCUAAUCCAAAUUUGACAUCCAUAUCAAAAUAUGACUCUACAUUUGCCACGUCAUCAUUUAACAAUCAAAUUAACAGAAAAUUUAACGAGGAUUGGACAAAAUGCUGUGUUUUGCCUGUUUCUAGAAUUGAUUUAAUUUUAUUUUGGCCCUCGAUAAAGAGUUUGCAAGUGAAAUCUAGGUAAAAGCGUAAUAUUUUCAUAGACAUCGAAAUUAAGACAGCCACAUCACACAGUUUAUAGAAACUUAAUAGACACCGGAAACACAAUCCACAUAGCAGACUGGCUUAUAGAUGACACAAUAUUCAGAUAACAAACUUCUCAACUGAGGGUUCAGAACUUCAGAGAGACGCAUUCUGCAGAGGUCGAUGUUGCUGCAGGUUGCAACGACUCAGAAACCGUGAAUUUUGAUAUUGUCUUUCUUCACAAUCCCAGCCUGUAUAAAACAAAAUUGUGAAUCAGGACCAGACUCCUCCAAAUUGGCUCUGUAAGACCAUCUAAUGGAAUAAUUAAGGAAGCAACUUUGACGGUUUUAUAAUACAUGUAGAACAUUUAACGUCAUCAAACCAUUCUGUGAACUACCUGGACUAGAAAGGUAGAUACGUUCUUUCGCUGAUCACCUUGAAGCUGAAUGACCUACGGACAAACAACAAUACAACAAUUAGGGGGUGUGUAUUAGAAACUAUAUUAUAGAUUUUACUGUUAAGCACGCACCUGUCCUAGUUCUGGGUCCUGGACAACGGUACCAUUGCAGCAAAAUUCCUUCUUAAGGUCUUUGAGUAUCUUGUUAUAGCUAAACUCUUUCUUCAAUCCCUGCACAGUAGUCAGGCUUUUCCUGCCAUUGCGUUGCUGUACACGGAUGUGUACAUACUCUUUUGUCCCAGCACCCGAGUCCUCAGCAGUUGCCUCGGCAAAGGGAUCUGAACCCAAGAAACAGCAAUUCAAUUAGAUAAAUGGAGGGACGCACAAGAAAGGAUGAAAGACAAGCAAGGCAACGAUAGAUGCUCACAUCUCAUAAGAUCAUAAAAAAUUUAAAGCACUAAUCCAAUGUUCAAAUAGUGAAAACAAAAACCUAAUGUGAGGAUGUCAUGAAAAAUAGCCUUUCAUACUCCAGCCCCCUCAUGCAAAAUUAGACUAACAAGCAGCAGAUAUUUUUUUCCACGGUCUUAACCAAAUAUUCUAUACUCUCGUUUCGCACUCUGAAGGAUCAAUAAAUCAGAUUUUUUUACUUGCCAACUAUGUAUAAGCACAGAAAAACUCAUCAGCAAUCAAGAGAACUGAGGGGAAAAUAAAGGGGGUAGCCUUCUACAAGCGUAUAAACUUAUCAUUUUUAUCACUUACGCACAAGGCGGUGAAAUUUUUUAGUUUUGAGCAUAACUCAGAUUCCUAAGAAUGGUAUGCUCUCCCACUUUACGUACAAUUAUUUAGAAAAUAUCAAACAACUAGACACAAAUCUAUAUACCUUACAGUAAAAGCCCACUAAAUUAUAAUGGAGUAGCCUAGCUCCAUCACUUUUCAUAAGUUUUUAGGAAAAGAGAUGUAAUCUAUCCUAGUGAAUGUGGAUUUGAUGCACAAGAUCGUCUCUGCUGUGCUUAUAUUAUAUAAAAGUGAAAAUGACUUCCGAUCGUCCCUGCUCUGCUGUGCUCAGUAGAUAAGAAGCUAAGAAGCAACAGUAACCCAUAACUUUAAUGCCUACAGUUCAAAUCCCCACACUCACAACCCUAUAUUUUGACCAGUACAUAUUAAAUCAGAUCGUAUAGACCACGUUCCAAACAAUUGAACCAAUGCCUUCAGAAAGAAUUGUAGCCAAAUCAAACCAUGUAGGUUAUCAAAAAUGUCCAGAUAAGCAGUUUAGCUUGGUUUCUUGAGUAAAUCAGGUUGUCAGAUUGCUGAAUUACUCUAGUUGACACUAUCUCUUGAUAAACAACAACAAACCAAUUUCUCAAACUCCACGUCUACUAAAUUGCAACAGUAUUGAAUGUCGGUGACUAAAAAUGCUCUCGAGCAUAUAGGUGCCCAGUUUUUCAACCAAUCAAACGUCCUGGAGCUAUUAUCCAACUUAUCCAAUUGGAUUCGAAUACAGGCGCACACAAGCAUGCGUUCAAGCACAUAAACACACACAAAUGAGUUACGAAUCAGCCCUAAACAUACCAAAGGCAGUGGGAAGCUGUACGUCGAUGUCAGACAUGAAACUUAGCUGAUUCAACUAAGCGACCCUGCUAACCGGAAUGCUCAGACCUGGAUCACAUUAAACAAAAAAUAUAAAUCUUCAUGUCCUCCAUCACAUAUAAUCAAGAUAAUAACACAAAAAGAACAGAUCACAUAAUCGAAAAGAAUUUUCGCAACUCUUCCGGAAUAAUCAACUGCGUAAUCACAAGGGAGUAAACAAAAUCUAUAUCGAAUCAAUUGCAAUCCCACCCUCGGAAAAAACUAAUUGACACCGAAAAACAAAGAGGGUUCGAAAAAAGCACCAAACUUUUCGGCUUCAUCUAAUCAAACAUGAAAAUAAUAUAUUUUUCAAGUACUUUACUGGAAAAAUUAAAAAUCAGAACACCAAAAAGAACUUAAUUCCCAGUUUUUUUUCCAGAGCGUCCUGUAAAUAAUAAAAAUUAAUGUAAUUCCACCUCUCAGAAUAAUAUCAAUUUAAAAAAAUUAAAAAAUUAAAAAAUUUCCAAUUUAUACAAAACCCCUAAAAUUCGGACCAGAUAUUAAACCAUCAAAAACCCUAGAACAAAGACGAACAGAAAUCGGUAAGGGGAUCGAAGAACGAAUUACCUGAUCUGAUAAUUAGGGUUUUGGAAUUGGCGAGUCGGAUCGAGAAAAAACCCUAACCCCAAAUAUCAGAUGAGCCUGAGCGAGCUCUCUCGACCGCGUUUAGUAGAUUGCUGUUUGGGAAGACGGAAAAAGUGAACAGAAAAUUGGGGCUUUGAGAUAGAUAUUUAUUGAAUAAACAAAUAAACAAAUAAUAAUUAAAUAAACUUAAAAAUAUGUGCAAGGGGGAGAGUGGUUUUGGUCAUUUGCACGCGCAGGGGUUUCAUUAGAUAGUCCACGCGCUGAUGAGAGCACUAGUUUUGGGUUUGGUUUAUUUGAGUGACAGCUGUGGGUAGCUGGGAGCGAGUAGAAGUUGAAACAGAAAAACAAUGUCUGGCUUUCUGAGUUGGUAAGUCGGUCUAAUGACCUUGUCCAUUCUGGGCAAUAAACCGCACCGUCUCUUGCCGAGUCCGCGUGAAGGGCAAAAUAGAUGAGUCUUCCUAAAAAUCUAACUCUGAUCUAAGUUAGUAUUACAGUUUUGUAAUAUUUCUGUUUACUUAAAAAUAGAAAGUCUCAUAUUUGACACAUCAAAAAUACAUAUAGAAGUUGAAUACCCAUUUCUUAGACUAGAAUAUCUCAAUUCUCGUAGAGUAAAAUAUCGUUAUAGAAAGAAAAAAUCACACUUGUAUUUAUUUUUUUAUUGUUUCCACCCCCUGAGAAUUUACAAUUUAAGGUAAACUCCUUCAAAGUCAAAACUAUCUUCAAAGCUACUUAAUAUAAUUUGGGUGCGGUUGUUGCACCAGACUGUCUCGGACUGAACUAGCUUCAGAGACUAAGCUGGACUGGCUUAAACUAGACUAAGCUAAACUAUAUUAAUGAAACAUUUGGUGCAGUGUCAGAUUAAAAAGAAGGAUAAUGAAAAUCAAUGAAAAAUAAACCUAUUUGAACAAUCACAACAAAAGAAUUCGAUAAUACGACAUCAUAAACUAACCAACCUAGAUUCAUUAUAGAAGGAAAAUUGAAAUUAACUAAAUCCACUUUUCUCUACCUACCCAAUUCAAACCAAAACAAAACAAUUUCUCAUAAUUAAAACAUAAUAAUAAAUUUCUCACAAAGCUACCCAAUAAAAUAAAAAAUUGGGUAAAAAAUUGUAUUUUAAUCCUUUUGUCCAUCGCUAUAUGAGGUUCUAAAAUGUGAGCCCAGAAAUUGUGUUGCUCCUUAAAUUGAACGACAUCGUCGCCACAACCACAAAUCAACAAAUCCAAUUGAUGGCACUACAGAUCCAUCUUCGUCACCUUCGUGCAGUUGUGGUCGACCCUAGCCUUAGGCUGUCGGUCUUCGAACUCAGUCUUCAAACCCAGCCUUCGAAUGUCUCAUCGUUCGGGCCACUGUUGUAGACCCCCAGCCCUCAAUCGAUCACGAUAAUCAAAUAAACAUUCCCUUUUCUAAUUGAUCCACCACCCAAGGAGUGUUCUGUCACCUCGGCGAAGAGGAGUGGGUGGUGCUGACAUCGAUCCGAGUCUAGGUUGUCGGUGCAAAGAGAUAGAGGAAGGGAGAGAGAGGAUGCAAAGUGCAGGAACAGACGUGAGAAGACGAAGGUCUUAGCAAUCCCAUGGUUUUGCGGGGGUCUCGCUAAGAACUUCUAGUGAGGCCCUUAGUCGACGCGUAUCCCGGCUAGUACCAUUAAAGUUAAUCUGCGCGAGUAACAAACACGGUACUGGACAAAUCUUUAAUCAUGUCUAGUCCAACAAAGGCUAACGAGUGCAAACAAACGCACCCUUUAGGGUAAACUCCACAUUAGUAAAACUGUUCGUCAACCAAAAACUAAUAAAAUUAUUACUAUACCCUUUAAUACAAAACUGAAAGAAGAUAUUAGAAAAUAAAACAAUUUGGGCAUUAAAGUAAUUUUGUACAAAUAAGUUUUUUCUAAGUACAUCGAUAUUUUUACACUAGGGGGAGGGGAAGUUCGGCUAAGCCACACAAUGGGCAACCUUAUUUGGUAUCGAAUUCGCCUAUUAGGGAGAAUGACAAGUCAUCAAAUGUAGUUACUGUUAAAUAGUUUGUUAAAGCUAAAUGUAAUCAGUUUUGUUAGUAACUGUAGUUAGUCAAGGUAGUUAAGGGUAUUCUUGUAAUUAGCCUAAGGCAGCUAAGGCUAUAUAUAUUCACAUCUGUACAACUGAAUUAUUGAUUCAAUACAAUCAAGAAAACUUACUGUUGAAGUUUUCUGUUUCUAUAUGGUAUCACGCCAUCCUGCUUUACAGCACCGACCUUCUCUUCCGCUCGACCUCUCGAUCGAUUCCUGAUCGAUUCUUGCUUUCUUCUUUCUGAUUCUUCAGCUUUUCAUUCCCGAUCUCUCUUGAAUCUUGAUCGCUGCAAGCUAUGGUUGCUCAAUCUGCAUCGCAACCUAUUAGGUAUUCUUCUCCGAUCAUCUCUCAUUCGGUCCAAAACCCUAAUUCCUCUUCUAAUCCGAGUCCUCUGAAUUCGUAUACUUCUCUUACGAUUCACAACAUCGGCAGUAUGGUUCCAAUCAAGCUGAAAAGUUCCAACUAUCUGCCAUGGCGAGCACUGUUUGCUCCAAAUUUCCGGCGAUACAAGCUUCUUGGUAUCAUUGAUGGCAUUGAGAUUUGUCCUUCACCAUUCUUGCCCGAUCGCUCAAUGAAUCCUGCCUUCGAGGAUUGGUAUGAAAAAGAUCAAAACCUAUUGAUCUGGCUCAAUUCUACCCUAUCAGAAGAACUCAUUCCGUUCACAGUUGGUGUUUCUUCUUCUCGAGAACUCUGGGUAAAGCUUGAACAAAGUUUUGGUGGAAUUUCAGAGGCUCAUAUUCACCAAUUACGAUCAAGACUUCAAUCAAUUCAGAAAGGAUCUCAGUCCAUUUCUGCGUAUCUUCAACAAAUCAAGGAAAUUGCUGAUUCCUUGCACAUUGCUGGUGCUUCGGUGUCUGAUCGUGACCUAAUUGCUGCCACUCUAUAUGGAUUACCUGAUGAAUUCGAGUCUUUUAUUGACUUCAUCAUGCUGCGGCUCUCUUCUACAUCUCUUGAUGAACUCCAUGGCCUCUUACUCACCAAGGAGUUGUCUAUGGCUCGUCGCAAGGCUGCUAUUUCCUCAUCUGCAACUGAACCUUUUCAGGCCUUCUCAGUGCAAUCUCAGCCUCCCUUGCUUUCUACUCCAUCUGUUUUUUCUACUCAGUAUCAACCAUUUCACUCUGCUUUCCGAUUUAACUCAAAUCGUGGUAAGCCAGCUCGAGGUAAUUUCUCAUCCAAUCGCAGCAAUCGCUAUUUUCAUAAUAAUAGGGGCACUUUCACCAACAAUCGUGGCAAUCGAAAUUAUCAAGGUUCUUCCACUUUCAAAGUUCCUUGUCAAAUUUGUGGUUCUACCAGUCAUGAGGCAAUUGACUGCUUUGAUCGUAUGAAUCCGGAUAUCUGCGGUCGAAUUCCUUCAGCCAAACUUGCUGCAAUGUGUGUGCAUCAUUCAGCAAAAUCUGCUCAGCCUUGGUUAAUUGAUUCUGGCACCACCUCCCACAUCACCAAUGAUGUAGCCAAUAUUUCUUCUCUAACUCCUUACACUGGAGAGGACAAAGUGUACAUUGGAGAUGGUAAAGGAUUAUCUAUCCAUCAUAUUGGUUCCUUAUCUCUGCACACUCCUCAUUAUUCCUUUAAACUGAGCAAUGUUUUACAUGUUCUUUUCAUGAAACAUAAUCUCUUAUCUGUUUAUCAGUUUCUUAAGGAUAAUAACUGUUCAUUGACUCUUGACCCUUAUGGAUCCACUGUCAAGGAUCGCAUUUCGGGGAAGAUGCUUUUGCAAUGACCUGUUAGGGAUGGUUUCUAUCCUCUCAACAAUUCCACCAGUUCUUCUUCUUCACCUUCAGCGUUUUUCAGCAUUCAAGCACCAGUCACUGUAUGGCACAAGUGCCUCGGACAUCCUUCCUCCUCAAUUUUUCGAAGAGUCAUAUCUACCAAUAAUCUUGCACUGCAAGGCAAGAAAAUUGUUGAUUUUUUCUGCUCAGAUUGUGCACUUGCUAAGAACCACAAGCUUCCUUUUGGAGUGGCUUCUUCAUCAACAACUCACAGUCUCUAACUUCUGCAUUGUGAUCUGUGGGGACCUGCCUCUAUAACAUCUAAUAAUGGCUUCAAGUAUUAUUUACUUCUUGUUGAUGAUUUUAGCAAGUACAGUUGGUUUUUUCCAUUGAAGUCUAAGUCCGAUGUAUUUUCUACAUUUGUUACUUUCAAAACCUAUGUAGAAAACUUCACUGGCAAUAAAAUCAAGAUUCUGCGUUCAGAUUCAGGGGGUGAAUUUACUAGUCACUCUCUUACUUCAUUUCUUCGUGAUCAUGGUAUAUUGCAUCAAUUUAGUUGUCCACAUACGCCUGAACAAAAUGGCUGUGCAAAGAGAAAGCACAGACAUCUUGUUGAGACAGCUCACACAUUACUUGUAGCUUUUCAAGUUCCUCAGGUUUUUGGGUUAAAGCCUUCUCCACUGUAAUAUAUCUUAUAAAUCGACUUCGUAUUUCUGGUCUUACAAAGUCACCGUGGGAACUUCUUUUCCACCAUCAUCCAGAUUACUCUAAACUGAAAGUAUUUGACUGUCAAUGCUAUCCCUGGCUUAAACCGUACAUUCACAGCAAAUUGGAUGCUAAGAGUAAAAGUUGUGUGUUUUUGGGCUAUAGUCUUCAACAUAAAGGCUAUAGAUGUCUUGAUCCUGUCACUAAUAGAAUCUACAUAUCAAGACAUGUUGUCUUUGAUGAAACAACUUAUCCUUUUACAUCAUCGCCGCCCAAUAGUCCCACUUCAGAGAUUUCAUUUUCUACACCUUCUCCAUCCUUUGACCUUAAAUUCAGCAAACAUUUUUCCAGUUCUCCUCCAGUCAGUACCUCUUCAGCACCACAGUGUUCUUCUGUACCAUCCUAUCAAUCGGAUUACAUCUUCCAAUGAAACUUCUUUCUGUAAUCAGUCAGUGGAUAAUUCUCACACUUCUUCCAGCUCUGCCUCUUUCAAUGACUCAUCUUUCUUACCUAUUCAGCCUAGUAAUCCACCUAUUUAUGGGAAUACACAUCCUAUGAUUACAAGAUCUAAGGCUGGAAUAUACAAGUCUAGAGCUUAUGCAGCAAUAAAACAUCAACUUCCAGUUGAUCUUGACUUUGUUCCUAGUACUUAUUUACAAGCAUCAAAGCAUGCUCACUGGCGAGCUGCAAUGCAGGCUCACUGGCGAGCUGCAAUGCAGGCUGAAUAUAAUGCCUUAAUAACCACAGGCACUUGGUCUUUUAUUCCCUCUCAUCCUUCUCAGAAUGUUGUUGGAUGUAAAUGGGUGUUCCGGGUCAAGAAAAAUCCUGAUGGAACCAUUGACAGAUACAAAGCACGCUUGGUGGCAAAGGGCUUUCAUCAGCAAGAAUGAGUUGACUUUCAAGAAACCUUCAAUCCUGUUGCUAAACCAGUCACCAUUCAGAUUCUUCGUACACUUGCUGUCCAAGAUAAUUGGUUCUUGAAUCAAUUAGACAUUAGUAAUGCAUUCCUCCAUGGUGAUUUAAAGGAUGAUGUUUACAUGCAACAACCUCCUGGUUUUAUUGAUCCUAACUCUCCCCAUUCUGUUUGCAAGCUGGAGAAAUCCUUAUAUGGCCUCAAACAAGCUCAUCGAGCUUGGUUUGAUAAAUUGUUUCAAGCUCUUCGAACACUCGGCUUUCAUCAAUCUCAAUCUGAUGCCUCUUUGUGUUGUCUUUAAUGGACCUUAGUUGGUUAUUGUCCUUGUUUAUGUAAAUGACAUCUUAGUUACUGGACCCAACUCUCAACUCUGUCAAUAGUUUAUCCAACAACUUAGUACUCAAUUUCCAGUAAAAGAUCUUGGUCCUUUACACUAUUUCUUAGGGUUGGAAGUCCACAGAUCCAACAAAGGCAUAUUUCUUCAUCAGACCAAGUAUUUACUUGAUCUUCUUAAGAAAACAAAUAUGGAGGGUGCCAAACCUUGUUCGACUCCUCUUGGUUCUUAGAAACUGGAUCACAGUGGGCCUCUCUUGUCAAAUCCCACUGAAUAUCGCUCUAUAGUUGGUGGUUUACAAUAUCUCACUUGGACUCGACCUGAACUUGCCUUUGCUAUUAAUCAGAUAUGUCAAUUUAUGCAUGCUCCCCGAGAACAACAUCUUCAAGCAGCAAAACGGGUUCUCAGAUUUCUUAAAUGCUCUAUUUCUCAUGGUUUAUGGUUCACCACAGGUCCUAUUAACCUUUCAGCAUACUCUGAUGUUGAUUGGGCUGGCUGCACCUUUGAUAAGCCGUCCACCAGUGGAUAUUGUGUAUUUCUUGGUCCAAAUCUUAUCAGUUGGAGUGCAAAGAAACAAAGUACUGUUGCUCGUUCCUCCACAUAAGCUGAAUAUCGUUCCUUAGCACAUUCUGCUGCAAAACUAACUUGGGUUUGCAAAAUCCUCAAAGAUCUUCAUUCUCCUCUCCCUACACUGCCUACCCUAUGGUGUGAUAAUAUUUCAGCAAUCUCUUUGGCAUCUAAUCCUAUUUUUCGUGCUCGCACCAAGCAUAUUGAGAUUGACUAUCACUACAUCCGGGAGUUGGUUCUCGCAAAUCUCAUCAAAGUCUACUAUGUUUGCAGUGAAGACCAAUUGGCUGAUCUUCACACCAAAUCUUUGUUUAAAAGCAGAUUAUCUUAUUUGUGUUCCAAGCUUCCAAUUGGAAUCCUAUCUGAUUCCUCUUUUAGCUUGAGGGGUGUAUUAGGGAGAAUGACAAGUCAUCAAAUAUAGUUACUGUUAAAUAGUUUGUUAAAGCUAAAUGUAAUCAGUUUUGUUGGUAACUGUAGUUAGUCAAGGUAGUUGAGGGUAUUCUUGUAAGGCAACUAAGGCUAUAUAUAUUCAUAUCUGUACAACUAAAUUAUUGAUUCAAUACAAUCAAGAAAACUUACUGUUGAAGUUUUCUGUUUCUAUAUCGCCAUCCACGAAAUUCGAACCUAAGACCUCUCACUUCUAAGUGAAGAUGAAUACUACCAGACCGUAGUACUAAGUGGUUAUACAAACAAGUUUUUACUGUUUUUUUUUCUAAACUCCACAACUAUGUCACUUUACUAAGGAGCAGGGGAGUGGGCUUAGUCUCACAACGGGCUAGCAAUAAUGUGAUUCAAAUUCACAUUUGACGAGAAUCGAACCUGAGACCUCUCAUUUAUAAGUAAAGAUUAAUAACAUUAGAUCAUAGUACUAAAUGACCUAAAUGAGGCAUCUAACAUGUGUGUUUCAAAAGUUCUUUUCUUUCUUUUUCUAUAUGACUGUACGUCUUGUAACUAUGCAGCCAGUCAGAAAUACAUUUUAUUGUAAAAAAAAUUAAAAAAAAAAGAGUAAUUUUAGCCAAUUUCAGAAACAGUUGGUAUCCUAAAAACUCAAAAGUAUGGUUCAACCAGUCUUCUAUCUCUUUCCAAGAUUCAAAAUCUUCCAAACAAAUUGUUUGUAAAUUUGAAAUCUAGCAUCCGUGAUUUUCUAAAAUUUGGAUUCUAUUUUUUGAUAAGUGCUAAUAAUAUCCUAUUAAAACUUGGCGUGCAUGCCAAGGAAAAUAAUUAAUCCUUAUGCGUGGCAUAGACUUGUGGCUUUUAAUGCAUUAAGUCGGCAUUCGAUCCUAUAAAUUAAGGCUCUUCGAUGCCAAAUCAUUCAUCGUUGAAAGCAAAGGCAUAUAGAAGUUCUGUGUAGCUGGCUCUCGUUCUCUCUCAAGGUUUGUACAUAUUUUCCAUCAUAUUCUGCAGUUAACGUUCUUCAGUAUGUUUUUAGGGUUUGAUUAAUUGUUUGAUUCAAUCAGUUAUUUCCUAGAAUUAUUUUUUAUCUUUCAUUUUUUUAUGAACGCCUGAGAACAUUGGAAAUUUAGAACACAAAUUUGAUUAAAAUUUUAUAUAUUCGUUUGAUUUGAUUAGUUACUUUGCUACAAUAAAUUUUGUAUAAAUUACAGGAAAAUAUUGGAGGUUGUUUUGUAUUCAAUUUGAAAAAUAAAUUUUAGUUUUAACAAAAUUUUAGUUUUAACAAGUGAUGAAUGUAAGGAGUCUUUUGUUUCGAAAACAAAGAAACUGAUACCAAACGGGAUCUUAAGUAAUUAAGGGCAUUGAUUUACGAUUUUUUUCUUCUCUAAACAGAUGCAGAUCUUUGUGAAAACCCUAACCGGAAAGACCAUCACCCUCGAGGUUGAAAGCUCCGACACCAUUGACAAUGUCAAAGCCAAGAUCCAAGACAAGGAAGGUAUUCCCCCAGACCAGCAAAGGCUGAUAUUUGCCGGCAAGCAGCUCGAGGACGGCCGCACCCUCGCCGACUACAACAUCCAGAAGGAGUCCACCCUCCACCUAGUUCUCCGUCUCCGUGGUGGUAUGCAAAUCUUCGUCAAGACCCUUACCGGGAAGACCAUUACUUUGGAAGUGGAAAGCUCCGACACUAUUGACAAUGUUAAGGCUAAAAUCCAGGACAAGGAGGGCAUCCCUCCGGACCAGCAGAGGUUGAUCUUUGCAGGCAAGCAGCUCGAGGACGGAAGGACCCUUGCCGACUACAACAUCCAGAAGGAGUCCACCCUUCAUCUUGUACUCCGCCUCCGCGGUGGUUUUUGAAUUCGAGCUCAUUGAUGCUUGUCCCAGCCUCCUGGUCUGAGGAGUAGAAGUGAAUCUAAUGUAUUCUUUUGUGGCUGUGUAUUGCCAGUAAUUUGGGUUAUUAAUACUGCUUUCGUAUGUGCUUUAUGCUGUUGCAAUUUCUAUUAUUUUGGUACUCCUGCAUUCAUUUGUUUAAAUUGUGUGUUGAGAAUAUUUAAACUAGCAUUUGUAUGUUGAGGGAUAACUUAUACCUUACGUGCAUGUAUGUAUAUUGGUGUGUUACGAAAAAUUCUGUUAACAAUGUCACUAAUUCAUUAUCUAGAAAAAUGUACUGAAUUUGCAUGUGCAUCAGUAUUGUAUUGAUUUUGUUGAAAAUAUAUCGAUACUUUGUCGGUACAUUCUGUUGGUCACAGUAAAUAUUGGUGAAAUAUAUCAUGUACUCAUGGUCUAGCCUAACUGUUCAUUUGCAAUGCAAAUAACACCUCAUAGCAAAAUUGGUAGCCUACUUUUCCAAUGACCAGUGUAACUCUAAAAGUGACUCCCCCAACUUCAUGAUCUGUGCAUGACCAGUUUUGGGUUGGAAGUCACAAAUAAGCGAAGUACAUACACUACAAGAAAAAAGGCUAAUUGUCACAGAGCAAGUGCGGUCGUUGCUAGGAAAAAGGCCAAUUGCCACAGAGCAAAUGCGGUUGUUGCUAGGGUUGUUAUUGCUAAAAGUGUGACAAUUGCUAUGCUAACAACGCCCCCCCCUCUCUCUUGCUGCUUCUCGCAGUGAUAACUACAUAUGAUAUGAGUCAACUAUGAAGUACCUCAUCAGCGAUGUAAACUAGCUAUGAUUGACUUACAUUGCUAGCUAGACCUAACUGUGCAACACCAUUUUAAUUCCAAAAUUGAUCUUGGGAGUUUCUUCAAGAUCUAUCCAUGACCAGUUGCUAGGAGUGUAGUUACCAAUGGCAAGUACUCGUCCAUGUUCUUUCCAGCUGACGGUUGUAUAAUUAGUUGAAUAGUUAUUCAACUUCUAAUCAUGAGAUUGUGCUAAAAGUGGGAAUGGCGUUUUUGAAUGGGCAAUGCUAGGAAUAUCAAAUAUUAGAUAAAUUUUGUAGACAAUAUAAUGUGAUUGUUGAUUAACGUGUUUAUUGUUUAUGAUGACACAUCACAUGAUUUGCAAAUAUGGUCUAAAAAUUUGGUCUACGCAUUGCUCAUUUUGCAUUGAGGAGUUCUUACUGUUCUUCUGUUGUAUAAUUUAGACCCAUUGGGCCAACACUGAAAGGCCCAGUACCAUCACGACCUCACCCCGCUCAUACCCCCCCCCCCCUUCCCUCUCUCUCUCUGAUCUCACCCUCCUCUCCUUCCUCACGCGGGAAUUGUGGACUCUCACUGUAAUUGCAAUUUGUCGUUUAAAAGGUACGAAAAAUUUCUGUAUACAAUUGAAUUUUAAAAGUGAUUUGAUAUAUUUGUUUGGGUUUCUUUAGGGGUCUGUCACUGUCAGUAAACUGGUUUUGCUUGUGAUUUCUCGAUAAUUUGCUGAGAUUUGCACUGAGAUUUGGUUGUUAAUGAUAUUUUUUGUAUGGGAUUUGGUUAUGUGCACUGAUUCCUCAUGGCAUUAAUGAAUUUUGUUUCAAUUUUUUUGGGAAUUGGGAUAUUUUCGUAGUAGGUCGAUGUAUGGAGAGAAUUUGGCGAUUAGGGUUUAGAAAAAUGUUUGAUGACUGAAGCUCUUGGUGUCUGCUUCUAAUCAACACGGCUAUGGCCGAAAGGAUCUUGGGUAAUUUGAUUUAUGUUGAGAGGGGUUGAAAGUUGACACAUUUGGAUGUGUUGACUAUGGCCAUAAGGAGCUUACUGACCUGCACUCAAGCUCUGUACCUUGAGUCCUUCACCUGUGUGAGCUCCCUUGAUUUAUCACCGUUGGCAAACAUUAAACGUCUAGAUAUCCGUUAAUAUUUGUUGUGCUAAAGGAGUUAUAGUUUGUUUUUCCGUAUUGUACUGUGUGCGCGUUUGGAUGGGGGACUUUGAAAGUUUUAUAGAACUUAGGCUAAAUAGUUAUGAAGGCACUACAAAAAUCAUGUGGAUCGACUGUGAAAUUGACGUGAUGCUAUACAUUUGCAGUGCAUUUGUAGUGUUCUAGUGUAGGUGCUAUACAUUUGUAGAUUUUAGUGUUCUAGAGUAGCGUUGAAGCGUUUGAGUAGUUCAGUAGUCUCUUGUAGUGCUGUUUUAAGAAUAGAGUUCGAUGUUCUUUGGGACUUUGAAAGUCCCUCAUCUAAACAUUGCAUAAGGAAUCGAUAAAUGCAUUUGGUCAGAUCCAUCUUCAAAAAGAAAACUUAUAUAAGAAAGCUCUUCCUUUAAGAAACAAGACCUUAGACUACUCUGUACACAAAGUGGAGUGAUAAACUACUAUCCAUGGUAUCUAAUCUACAUGUCCUAUAUUCAAAAUAACAAUAAGGUAUGUCAAUAUGUCAUGGAGUUACCAUAACAUUGAUAGUUACUUGAAGGUAAUUAAAAGUGUGUAAAAGCUGCUUUUGAAAAACAAUGUCCAGAGAGAAUGGCUUGUUGGCUUAUAAGAUUGGUGGAUUGAGUUUUUAUGGGAAAAUGAUCGGGGUUCUGUUCACUCUUGGGGUGUUUUGCUUUUAUGUUAUUGGAAUGUUAUAGCGAAGGUGUAUGGAUUUAUAUUGAUUUGUGUUAUUUGUUCUUACUAUAGAAAUUGAUGUAUGUUGUUAUAUUAAAAUUCUACUGUGUUUUCUUUCUUUUUAAUUUGUUCUUACGUUUAUAGUUGUGUAUAGUUUGUUUAGUUGUGUGAAAAACAUAUAUUACUAAUUUACUAGCCACGUAAAACAAUUACGAGAAAAGAAAUCAUCUUUAGUGGGUAUUUAGUUUCUUUUUGAUAAUAACCAAAAGAAAAAACUGUAACAGUUGCCAAACAAGCUUUAUGUUAUUAGUGUUUUUCAAAUGAAAACUAAAAUCUAAUAUUCAAAAACAGUGAACUGAAAACAAAAUGGUUAUCAAACAAGGCCUAAAAGUUGAGUAUUUUUUUGUAAUUUUGUAGAGAAACCUUCAAACCUCUCGCUCUUAUCUUAGAUCACCAUGCCUCCAGUUGGCCCUCGAUCUGGUGAUGCAAUCUUCGCCAACGUGGAACGUGUGGUAAGUGAAACCCCAAGUCGCCUUAAUGUUUUCUUUAUCCUCAUAAUUUGGAAAUUGAAUUGGUUUCAGAAUGCGGAGUUGUUUACAUUGACGUACGGUGCGAUUGUGCGCCAGCUGCUUACGGAUCUUGAGGAAGUUGAAGAGGUUAACAAGCAGCUUGAUCAAAUGUAAUUUUUUUUGCUUUACUUUAAUUCUCUAUACUCAAGUUUGAUGUUGCAUUUCUUUCUUUUUUCUCUGAGAAUUAUGCCUUUCUUAGAAGUUUAGUUCUAGCUUUUACAUUAUAUGGAAGUGUGUGCUUGCAUGCAUCGACAAUUAUCUUGUUUUCUUCAUUUUUUUGUUGUUGUAGGAUUCUGUUUAUGGCUGUUAAUUUAUGUCAAUCUUUGUUUUGAGCUAUAAAUGUGUUGCAAGGAGGACAACUUUUAUUUCGUGACAUGCAAUGUUUGAUGACCAGUAACCGUAACUUUGAUAAAAAUAUAGUUAAUUUUCAGUUUAGCUGAUUACGUGACAAUUUAAUUGCAUCUCAGGGGCUAUAAUAUUGGCAUUCGAUUAAUUGAUGAGUUUCUAGCAAAGUCUAAUGUAUCUAGAUGUGUUGACUUCAAAGAGACAGCUGAAGUAAUUGCAAAGGUUUGUUGCCACCAUCCGUUUCCUUUCAAAUUUGAAUAUUCUGUGGAUCUUAAUUGUUCUGAAACCUGGUAAACUGUUUCUUCUGUGCUGAACUUUGGUACCUGUUGCAUGGAAGUUAUUGAAUCUUCUAUUACUUCCCAUGGUCUUUUCAACUGUUUGGUACAAAUAUCUUUCAGUAAAUGUUGGUGGAAAUUUAAUUCACUUGUCCAAUCUUUGCCUUUCUUGAGGAUGACAGCGGAGGUUUGUUAGUGAAAACCAAGAUUUGAAUCAUGGUUAAUGGCUAAUAUAUCUGAUUGAUACAUGUCAAAAUGCUAAAUGCUGAAUCCUGUCCACUGACUGUGCAACAAAGCAUAUUAGUAGGCCUAAACAUAUUGAAUUUAGAAUCAUUAAGUGGAAUUACGGUUAGUCUAUCAGUUUGUUUGGGUUUGAGGCUCUAUCUUGCGAUGGAAAAAUGGUAAUGGGCCAGGAUUGUAAUAUCUGUAAGACAGUUCCUCUAGUGUUUGGUGCAAUCUUUUCAUGCGUCGCUAGAUCUAAACUGUUCAUUUUUUGCUGUGUUUUUAUUUUUUCAAUUUCCACAAGCUUCCAGGUGAAGAUAUGAAGUAGUUUUUUGUUUGUCAUAAUGGCUCCAUCAAUAUUUUUUUCUACAGGUUGGUUUCAAAAUGUUCUUGGGGGUCACUGCAUCUGUUACAAAUUGGGAUGCUGAUGGAACAUGUUGCAGUAUUGUUCUGGAGGACAAUCCUCUGGUAGACUUUGUUGAGCUUCCAGAUACGUGCCAAGGUCUUUACUAUUGCAAUAUCUUAAGUGGAGUUGUAAGAGGCGCCUUAGAAAUGGUGAGUUGUACUUGUGAUCUCAUGUACUGCACUUGCCUUGACAUGUGCCCCCUCUAUGUGAUGUAUGGUUUUCCCUUUUUGCACUGGUCGCUAUAUAACAGAAUACAACUUCUUACUCUUAUACACGUCUCAUUGGUAUUGGCUUUUAUUUUGACUUACAUAGAGAACACCGUAACUUUCUACUUGUAGUUUCAAUUUUAUUCUUCCAUUUAAAAUAUUAGUUACGGAAGUUGUAGCUAAAAAAGCCAGCUCGCUGCUAGUAACAUCAUUAUCUAUCUAUUUAUAUAUAUUUUUUCAAACUUGGGGGAGUUUUAUUCCUUACAUAAUUCUAUUGUGCUUUGACUCAGCUUCAGUCGUAGUUUAGUUUUAUUGAUUCCUUUCUAAUAUGUAUUGGUAGAAAGUUUUCCAUUUUUUCUCCUACCGAAUGAUUUCGAUUUUCUAUUCCCCAUGCACUUUUACUUAUAGUAUCUAAGAAAACUUGUAUUACCUGCUUGAGGGGAUUCAGCUGAUUCGCAAGGCUAAAAGCACUUUCUGAUGGGAAUAUGGGUCUUGAAGGUUCUAUUAAAACCUAAAAAAAUGAAGGGUGGUAGAGAUUCUGUUUUGACGUCAUAUAUGAGUUUUCUCCGUCUCUUUAUUUUCUCUCUUGCCUCACAGUUACGUUGUUUCCAUGGUCAGGUAUCAAUGAAGACUGAAAUUAGUUGGAUCCGUGAUAUGCUUCGAGGUGAUGAUGCAUUCGAGUUGCAAGUUAAACUCCUGAAGCAAAUUCCAGAAGAGUACCCGUACAAAGAUGAUGAGUAAAAUGCUUGCACUAGCCUGAUACAUAAACAGUUUUAUUUCUGCUUCCACCUUUUCCUUGAAGUCAAAUGUUAGCAGCAGCUUGUUAUGUCUUUAGCACGCGUUCGCGGACACAAUGGAUAACGGUGUUUUUAUUUACUCGCCGUUUAGUUUUUGCCAUUCCGAUGAAUCAUUUUAACGGCUUAAAUGUGCAAUUUGCAUGUUCUGCGACUCUCAUCUUAUUUUUCAUGGAACGGUUUAGUACAAAUUUCAAGAAGAAAGUUAGUUAUUUAAUUGGAAUUUAUUAUUGUUCUAAAAUUAUUAAUGUUUUAUAUAUAUAAUUGUUGUGGGUUGUAAAGAGAAGCUAUCCUUUUUUUCUUCUCUUUUUAAUACAUUCGAUAUUAUCUGUACUAAAGCCAACUUCAAUAGUUGCACUAAAACCAACUUCAAUAGUUGGAUUAAAACUAAGAACAGUUUAAGUUUUAAACUCUCCCAAAAUUGCUCCAAUCAUUGGGCAUAAAAGCAAAUUUGGGUUAAAACCUAUUCUUGGGCCAUAUUCUGCCCAAAAUGCCAGUUAAUCCUAAAAUUCUGGCCACCGUUGGGGGUGCGCGCACAUGAAAAAGAAACACUCGGUGCACUGACGUGCCCUUUGUCCCACGCUCGACAAAGCAGUUAGUGGUUAGUCGUGAAUAAUCUUCCAAUGAGAGUUGAGUACUCAAGGAAAGAGCGAGAUUGACAUUACAAGUCACUGAAUCCUUUCAACACUUAUGGGUAAAGACCACGAAACCGGCUCCCCAGUGGAAGAAGCGACACUCGAAUGGGUAAAACGCCAAUGGAGUGCGCUUCCAUAAUUGUAUAUCGAUUUCAUCAAAUGCUAUAUUGGUGAAUACAUACAAUGUCUCUGUUAAACGAUGCAAAGCCAAUGAGAAUCACUGAAUGAUGGAGCGAGUGGGCAAAAUGUUUGUGUAUCAUCAAUGGGUGAAGCACAAUACUUCUGAUCCCGAUAAACUGAGCACCGUCAAUCUAAUUUUGUCAAGGAGCUCAGAAACAGUUUCCAUACAAACCCUACGGGCACCGGCAGUAUCUAUACCGUGCAAGGCAGAAAGCUUAGUGAACAUAUAACGCCAUGUUCGAAAUCAGAAGCGCAUCACGCUAAUAUCAGAAAAGACAGCCCAAAUAAAUAGAAGUCAAUAGAACUCUCUCUUCCAGAUUGUCAUCACAUUACUGGUUUUCCAUAAUUGUCAAUUGAUAAAUUCUAGCUAAUGUUCAAGGAUCAUUCUAAAGUGAGUCCUAUGUCAUUUUGUGACUUCAUUCAAUUGUACUCUCGCUAAGUAAAUCAGGAGACUUGGAAUCAUACAUUGGUAAGCCCACACAUAUUAAGUGAGAACUUCCUGUUGACCUUCUUCCUGUACUCUACCAAACUAACCAUCAUGAUACCAGUACCAAGACAAACGAAACUUAAAGACUGUUAUUCCAACAACUUUCAGCUGAUUUGAUAAUCUACCGAUCAAACCGUUCCACCCCCUUUUGACGAUCUUUACACAUGAUUCUUUUGGACCUGCAAACAGGAAAGAACCACAAAGAUGGAAUAUAAUUGGCUUUGAGUCAGAACAAGUGAAGAAUUUACAAAAGCUAUAGACACUCAUCACCCCAAGCAAGAAAAGUGCAACCAAGAACUGGGUGAAAGGAAAUAGAGGACGAUUCGUGUUUCUAAGGAGCGAGCUACUCAUCGAAAUGGGCAUACUUAUGGCUUCAACCGGAAGUAGGAGGGUUGGAAGAUUUUGUGUCGAAAGUCUCUUUCGCAAUGUUUGAGACUCCUAAAACAAAGUCCAGACAAUCCCAUCCAUGUAAGCUCGAAGAUCAAUGACCCAAAGGUCUCUGAAAGACUCGUCCCCUCCCAUGUCCCAAAGCGUACCAAUUUGGGAAACCGUGGUCAGUUCGAAGUGUAAGAGAUCAAGACAUGUCCGACCAAUACACUGAGAAUUUGAUAGGAUAAUUCAUUUGUGCGAGUCCAGGAGGAAAAUUAACAUGCUUUUGAUCAAACCUUCCUACUUCCAAGAGGAGAUGGAGAUUUACGAAAGAAAGCUCCUGUGGUAUUGACUCCACUCAGGACCCUCUUGUCUACAGCUCCUUAAGGAAGUAAACAAGUUUGAAGGCCAACGCAAGCUGACUGACCUAAUUGGAAACCACAACAGGCCUGACCCCUCAUUACAAGGAAUCCUCGUACACCCCAUCCAAGCAAGGAAAGCAAGAAAUUUGGCUUGCAACUCUACUACUGAAAUGACCCUGAUGAACACACUAACCUCUGAGUCCAACAUGGCAUACGCCACAAAAUGAUGCCUUCAAAGCUUAACGAAUCUGACUGGGUCUUCGUCCUAACAUCUGAAGAUUAGACUCAUUUGAGGAAUGUGGGAACAGUUUGAUUUCUCAACACAUUUUUCCAGACCGAAUCGCUUGCAUUCUGCGGAUGACUUUGUAAGAUAUUCGCAGAAGUUAUCGUUGUACGUCCAGUAUGCUGGACGCUUCAGUGACAUCUCCGUGUGUGCCCCAGUGACGACAAAGACUGCCCCGCUCAAAGCCUUCAACGGCAAUGCCUACGUGAUUGUUAUUCAAGUAAAAUGAUCAACCACAACUGGAGGACUUACUCUGCAAGGUGAUGUCACAUGCUUACAACUAUGCCUCAGCCGAGGCAAGGGACAUGCCAAAGGAGAAACCCCCCACAACCAAUCCCCUUAGCAAGCCUAGCAGGAGUUGGAAGCCAAACUCCAACUAAAUGAAAAAGACAAUCACAUUCCAAACGGCAACGGUGCAUGCCCUGCUUCCUUAAAAUACUUCGCCAAGUCAACAGACAUAUCAACUCUUAAGGGCAAACGAAAGAUCCCAUCUUCCUUCAGAUAUUAGUAAAAGGAGUAAAGGACACUAUUGCGAUAACCAAGGAUCUGCCUACCCAUCGAUAUCGCCUCCCCCAAGUCCACACAGUGGCAAUACGUGUCAGGAAGGCCCUACACUCGAGUAUGAGACUACAACCUUUGAAUGCCAAUGCCCCGGGCCAUUUCCCGAGGUGAUAGCACCACAUAAUACAUGCCAAUGCCUGGGGGGCAAGGGGGGGGGGGGCCCAAGAACAUGGCAUGUUUUUGCUGAUACCAUGAGCAUAACGGCCAUGACAGCGAAAAGUGUAUCACCAUUCGUGAUCAUAUUGAAACUUUGGUGCGUGAAGGAAAAAUUGAUCAAUUCAUCCUUCAUUCAAAUUGGCAAUAACUAUAACCAACAGCCAAGUGAAUGUGAUUUAUUCCAUAUCAGCCGGUGGGCACACCCAUAUCUGAUCUUCCAACAAAGCAGAAAAAACGCUAAACGGACGAGCUUUAAUGCCUGGUCACCAAGUGUUUGGAAGGACAUUUAGGGGGGGCAAGUAUCAAAAAGCCUAAAUGGGAUCCAAUAUGUUUCUACCCUGAGGAAGAAAGAGGUAUCAUCUACCCUUACAAUGACCCACUGAUCGUGGAAGCUCACAUAGCCAACUUUGAAGUACUACGAAUCCUGGUAAACACGGGGGCUUCAGUCAAUAUUCAUGUUUGCUGAAGCUUUCAGGGCACUUAAUAUAGCUGAACACUUGCUCGAUUCGCUCGAUUUUCCUCUCCUCUAUAGUUUCUCCGAUGAUGAUCGUGCAUUAGGGAGCAUUACUUUACCUUUUCACCAUUGGUAUAAUGCCCUUACAUAACUACCAUGUACCACUAACUUCUUGGUGGUUGAUUGCCCAACGGCAUACAAUGUCAUCUUUGGACGCACAGGCAUCAAUGAUCUCAAGGCCAUGGUAUCUACACAUAUGUUGUUGAUGAAAUUUCCAAUCCUCUAUGGCAAUGGUUACAUCAGAGAAGAUCAACUUAGUGCACGGUCAUGUUUCACACUUUAGUCAAACAACAUCACCUACCUAUGCCCAAGGAAACCCUUUCUAUACAUGACCAAGUCAUAAAUACUAGCCCGAACGAAGCCAACUUAGAUAUUCACGAUGACAACAGUCAACCUGACGAUCCUCAAGACGACUAUUUCACCCAACAAGCAAAACCCGCUGAAGAGUUAGAGAAGGUUUCUAUCUCAAAAGAUUAUUCAGAUCGCAUGGUGAAGAUUGGCACCACCUUGUCACCAUCUAUUUGGUUGUCAUUGAUUUCUUUUUUGCAAGAGAACACUGAGGUCUUCACCUGGUCAUACGAAGACAUACCAGACAUCUCUCCCAAUAUCAUAUGUCAUCACUUGAGUAUUGACCCCAAGACCAAGCCGGUGAGACAGAAGCGAAUAUCUUAUGACGCUGAACGAUACGAAGCAAUGAAGGCAGAAGUUGAAAAACUCAAAGGUAUAGGCUUCGUCCGCGAAGUCAAUUGCCCAACAUAGGUAGAAAAUGUGGUCCUUGUUAAGAAAAAUCAAACCAAAGAAAAGUCUCCUGCUCCAAAAGGUCUUGUGGAGAAUGUGUGUUGAUUACACCGACCUAGACAAAGGAUGUCCGAAGGAUAACUUUCCUCUUCCUCUCAUAGACAGACCUAUAGACUCUAUGGUAGGGUGUGAACUCCUCAGCUUCAUAGAUGUUUACUCAAGAUACAACCAAAUCCUCAUGAACCCUCCGGACCAAGAACACACAGCCUUCAUUAUUGACAUGGGACUAUAUUGCUAUAAAGUCAUGCCCUUCGGCCUAAAGAAUGCAGGGGCGACUUAUCAGAGACUGGUCAAUUCAAUGUUCGUCGAACAGAUUGGGAAGAGCAUGGAAGUUUACGUUGAUGAUAUGCUAGUCAAGAGGAAACAUGCUGACCAACACAUCACCAACCUAUCUGAAACUUUCACCAUUCUGAAGAGGUAUCGAAUGAGGUUGAACCCCAACAAAUGUGCCUUCGGCGUAGACUCUGGCAAAGUCUUAGGCUUCAUGAUAAGCCAACAAGGUAUUGAGGCUAAUCUCGAGAAGAUCAAAGCAAUCAUCGACAUGAAGGAACUGGUAACUUCAAAAGACAUUCAGAGCCUUACUGGCAAUGUGGCAGCCUUAACUAGGUUCAUCUCUAAGGCCACAGACAGAUGUGCUCCUUUCUUCAAAGCACUUAAGGGAAGUAAGAAGUACAUUGCAUGGACUGAUGAAUGUGUCGAGGCAUUCAAGAACCUCAAAGACUACAUGAGUAAAGCCCUUUUGCUUUCCAAACCUGAGGUUAGUGACACUCUCAUUAUCUAUCUGUCGGUAUCAGCUUCAGCAGUAUGUUCUGUUCUCAUUCGAAAAGAUGGUAAUGUCGAACGGCAUGUCUAUUACGCUAGCAAGGCCUUACAAGAUGCGGAGACACGAUACUCCAACAUUGAGAAAUUGGCUCUAGCAUUGGUCAUGUCUGCUUAAAAACUUCGCCCUUACUUCAAAGCACACUUCAUCAUCGUGUUUACUAAUCAUCCUCUUCGACAGAUACUCCAAAGUCUUGACACUUCUAGGCGAAUGAUCAAAUGGGCGAUAUCAUUGGGUUAGUUUGACAUCUCCUACCAACCAAAGCCAGCUGAGAAGGGCCAAGCAAUGGAAAACUUCAUCGCUGACUUCACAUAUCCUGUUGACAUUGUUUCUACGCCUAAAGAAAUGGUUUCAUUACCCUCAGAAGCUCAGAAAAUAGAACCAACAGCCCCAACAUGGAGUCUAUAUGUUGAUGGCUCGUCUAACCAACAGGGUUGUGGAGCAAGACUAGUCUUUACGACCCCUAACAAAGUGGCGAUGGAGUAUGCUCUUCGUUUCAAAUUCAAGGCGUCGAACAAUAAGGCCAAAUAUGAAGCUCUCAUAGCAGGCUUACAUUUGGCCAAACACCUUGGGUUAAACGAAUUGAUAUCUUCAGUGACUCCCAAUUGGUGGUUAAUUAGGUCACCAACAACUUUGACGCUAAGGAUAGCUCCAUGGCAGCAUAUUUAGCACAAACACAAUUGUUGCUCAAGCACUUCUACUACCAGAUCACCAAAUUCCUCGAGCGGUAAAUAGUUAUGCAGAUGCUUUGGCUCGCCUCGCCUCAGCGAUGGAAGACAAGAUUGGGAGAAAAAUUCAGGUUGAAUUAUUGGCAGCACCAAGCACCAUGGCUACGAAAGUGUGCAACUUACAACAUGAGGAUAGUUGGAUUACCCCAAUUUAUAGAUUCCUGGCUCAUGACACCCUUCUAAAUGACAAAGUCCAAGCUAAGCAGAUUUGAUACAACGCUACCUGUUACUUGAUCAUUAAUGACCAACUCUAUAAGCGGGGUUUUAACCUACCAUACCUAAGAUGCCCUACGCCCGCAGAGGUGGAAAUUGUUCGUCAGGAAAUAUAUGAAGGAGUCUGCGGAGAUCAUGCUGGAUCUCGAUCCUUAGCACACAAGGCUUUUCGCCAAAGAUAUUACGGGCCAACACUCUACCAAGAUGCUAUCAGAAUAUUUCGCUCAUGUGAUAAGUGUCAAUGCUACGCAACUAUUCCUCACUCCCCUCCCGAGCCGCCCACUCCUAUGAUCAGCCCUUGGCCCUUGGCCCAAUGGGGACUUUAUUUGAUCGGCCCAAUGCUUGCAGGGAAGGGUAAGGUCUGCUAUGCAAUCGUUGCAGUUGACUACUUCACAAAAUGGGCUGAAGUAGAAUCCUUGGCAACCAUUACUGAGGCAAAAAUAGAAGAUUUCGUAUGGAAGAACAUCCUUUGUAGAUUCGGCAUUCCCAAUGCUAUAGUCACUGACAACGGGUGACAGUUCGAUAACAAUAAGUUCAGGAUGUUCUGCUAUAAGUUAAACAUUAACUUAUAUUUUGCCUCCCUAGCUCAUCCCCAGUCUAAUGGACAAGUUGAAGCCAUCAACAAAAUAAUCAAGCGAACUUUGAAAACCAGCUUGGAUAAGGCUAAAGGUUGUUGGCCAGAAUUUGUACCCCAAAUUCUUUGGUUAUAUCGCAGUUUGUAUCAACAUCAACAGGAGAAACCCCAUUCUCACUUGCCUUUGGUACGGAGGCAGUUGUUCCAGUUGAGCUUGAGCAAGCAACGUUCUGAGUCCAGAACUACGUGCAAAGCAAAAAUGACAAACAACUUACCCUCAACUUAGAUCUAGUCGAGGAACACAUAAACCAGGCUCACUUGAGGAAUGUCGCCUACAAGCAGCGCAUCUCCAACUACUAUGACUCAAGGGUCAAACCUUGUUCUUUCAAAGUAGGGGACUGGGUAUUGAAGAAAAGAUUACUCUACGACAGAGUCUCGAGUAAAGGAACACUUAGUCCAAACUGGGAUAGAUUGUUUGAAGUUGUUGACAUUUGUCGCCCUGGGUCCUACAAGCUUAUAAGCUCCGAUGACAAAACCCUUGGCCAUCCAUGGAACGCUGAUCACUUGAAGUACUAUUUCAAGUAAACUCACAUUGUACAAGUGUUAAGCUUUAGCCGUUCGGUAUCCUAUGUAACGAAGACUAUUUGGCAUGAAUUCAAUAAAGAUGUGAUUUAGACAACUCGGUCCUAAUCCUCUUACAUUCUUUGCAAUGAAACACUCAGGUUCAAAGCUUCAACAUGAAUGCUUCCAACAUGAAACAAAGUCUAUGUCAACAAGACUAUGCAAAUAAACGAACAGCUUCACAGUAUAUUCGUUCAAUCAUACAUUCCAACACAUUCAUACAUAAGCCAACUGUGCUUCGAAAGGGUUCAACUUACUUUGUGUCAUUCGACACUUGCUACAAUGUGCCUCGACACCUUGCCCUUAUUCUCACCAACCAGGUGAUGAAAUGUAAAGAAUGAACUCAUCUUCAUGCCACCAACCAGGUGAUGAAAUGUACAACAUGUACUCUCUUCAUGCCACACCAGGUGAUGAAAUGUACAACCGUACUCUCAUUCAUGCCACCAACCAGGUGAUGAAAUGUACAACCCGUACUUUAAUAUCAUUAGGCAAUUUGCCACUCAUGCCACCAACCAGGUGAAGAAUGAACUUAUCUUCAUGCCACCAACUAGGUGAUGAAAUGUACAACCCAUACUCUCCUUCAUGCCACCAACCAGGUGAUGAAAUGUACAACCCGUACUCUAAUAUCAUUUGGUAACUUGCCAUUCAUGCCACCAACCAGGUGAAGAAGGAAUUCAUUCUCGUGCCACCAACCAGGUGAUGAAAUGUGAUGAAAGGUGAUGAAGGAACUCACCUUCGUACCACCAACCAAGUGAUGAAAGCAACUCACCAUUCAUUCCACCUACCAGAAGAUGAGUGGUACAACUUGUACAUGUGAACUCCUAGCAUUCACAAAUAAUAAAAAACCCUCAAGCUUAACAACUCAACUAGGGGAGUACUUAUGCCCAUUAAGAGUUAUAGUCACCAACAAAGUCUUAUUGCAAGCCAACAACAAUUUCAGUGUAUGGCAUGCGAAGAUCAAGCUAUUCAGCUCUCUUGCAUUUGUUUCAGACAUUUCCCCUCUGUAACAAUGCAAACACUACAACUCGUAGAAAGCUUCACACACUUUUGAUCAAGACAACAAAACCAAUUUAUGGUGCCAACAAGAGCUUCAUCAAUUGAGGGCAACCACAAUUCUCAAAAGCUUCACACAUUCUUGAUCAAGACAAUGUGAAGUAAAACCAAUUUAUGAUGUCAACAAGAGCUUCAUCAAUGGAGGGCAACCACAAUUCUCAAAAGCUUCACACACUCUUGAUGAAGAUAGUGUGAAGCAAAACCAAUUUAUGGUGCCAACAAGAGCUUCAUCAAAGGAGGGCAACCACAAUUCUCAAAAGCUUCACACACUCUUGAUCAAGACAGUGUGAAGCAAAACCAAUUUAUGGUGCCAACAAAAGCUUCAUCAAUGAAGGGCAACUACAACUCGUAGAAAGCUUCACACACUCUUGAUCAAGACUGUUCGAAGCAAAUUCAAUUUAUAUGGUUCAUCCAAACCUUUGACUACUACAAGGUGUGGCUUUCAUCACAAUCUCUUGCUUAACAGUGUGGAAGCAAAAUUUGUAUAUGUUGUCUCUCCCAUAUUUUCAAAUUUCUAGUUUCCCAAAAAAAACAAAAAGGGAAAUUCAACAAAGCUUCAUCAAUGGAGGACAACUACAAAUUAUCAAAAGCUUCACACUAUCUUGAUUAAGAUAGUGUGAAGCAAAAUCAAUUCAUGGUACCCAACAAAGCUUUACCACAAAAGCUUCACCAACAAAAGCUUCAUCAAUGGAGGACAACUACAAAUUCUCAAAAGCUUCACACUAUCUUGAUCAAGAUAGUGUGAAGCAAAAUCAAUUCAUGGUACCCAACAAAAGCUUCAACUCCAAAGCUUCACUUACAAAGCUUUAAAUCCAAAGCUUCACCUACAAAAGCUUCAACACAAAAGCUUCACCUACAAAGCUUCAACUCCAAAGCUUCACCUAUAAAGCUUCAACCCAAAAGCUUCACCCACAAAAGCUUCACCUACAAAGCUUCAACUCCAAAGCUUCAUCUACAAAGCUUCAACACAAAAGCUUCACCCACAAAAGCUUCACCAACAAAAGCUUCACCCGCAAAAGCUUCAUCACCCACAAAAGCUUCACCCACAAAAGCUUCACCCACUACAAAAGCUUCACCUACAAAAGCUUCACACUAUCAUGAUCAAGAUAGUGUGAAGCAAAAUCAAUUCAUGGUACCCAACAAAGCUUUAACCUUAAAACUUCACCUAUAAAGCUUCAACACCAAAGCUUCACCUACAAAGCUUAUUUUUUUUCUUUCGGAAAUUCGAAAAUUUGAAAGAAAAAAAAAAUUCAAAAUUCAAAAAAAAAAAUUUGCAUAGGCCUCAUCUUUUUUGGGCCUAACAACUUUCAUAAGGAGUUUUGGGCUACCAUUUAGAAAGGAAAUGCCUCAUUCGUCAACUCCCUCGACCAGAGACUUGGGGGACUCCUACCAUAUGCUACUGCACCUUGAUACUCGGAAGUCUCACGACCACUCAGUGACUUGGAUUUUUCAAGUCUCCAGCCAAGAAGUUUUCCUCACUCAGGAAAUUAAGGGAGAACUACUUCAACAUGCAAGCUUCAACAAAAGAAAAAACUCAAAGAACUUAGUGAAGAAGGCCUUGGUGUAUUUAACACAAUAUGUUGAAAUGAAGCAAAGCUUGUUUAUUGAUAUCUCCGCUAAGUUACAAAUAUGUACAUAUACAUGAAUCAAAAUAAACAAACAAGAGGGAGCCUUCACAAAGGUUGCUCAGAAAAAGUCUCAGCAGUCUGCAGAGCCCUAGAAAGAGGAGGCACCAGAGGAUGAUUAUUCGGAGCCUCAGUACUAGGCAGAACCCUAGAAGGAGGAGGCACCGAAGGUUAAUCAUUUGGAGCUUCAUUACGUGGUACAGGCCCAAAAGACGAAGGCAAUAAAUGCUUUUGGAACAAACCCACAAACCUCUGAUGAUCAAGUAAAAUCUGACCAUCAGAUUCCUGCAGUUAGUCGAGCUUCCUCUUCAUGUUUGUAGCAUAGUCAUGUGCGAGCCUGUGCAACUGUGUAUUCUCAUGCUUGAGCCCUUUGAUCUCCUGUUUGAGACUUAUCACUUCAGCCGCCAAUGAUUCAACUUGGCGGGUUCAAGCAAAUAGGCAUUGGGCCAUAUUAGACACAGAACCUGCUGAACAUUGAGAGCCAGAGAAUCCUUAACAGCUAACUCAUCAGACCGUUUGGAAAGUAGUCUGUUAUCUUUGGGAGUGAGAAGGUUCUUGGCCACCAUCGCAACUGUCAUAUCAUUCUUCAUCACAGAGUCCCCAAUGAUAAGAGGACCAGUAGGGGAUAAGAAGGAUGGGCGCCAUAUGUUGUCUUGAGAGGGCAUGGCUGCCUCUUCACCAAAGUUCAAGUCAAAACGAUGGUUGGAUGGGCCAUACAUUCUCAGAAAUGAUGAAGGAGAAAUAAGGUGCAAUAAAUCUCUGAAGUACAAAAAUAAGGGGAAAAUUCCUACAAGUAAUAACUCUCUGAACGUACUUCUUGCACACAAUUGGUGCCUCUAUAAAAGAAAGGGCAACAAGGCCGUUGGUUCCAAAAUCGAAGAUGCACCACUCUUCGGAUUUCGAGAAGCAGAUUUUCCUGAGUAAAAUAUGUCGACAAUCCCCACACGCAACAUCAGCUUCUUAGGUACCACAGAUAACUUUGCCAAAGAUCUCUGACAAAGUUUAGACACAUAAAUUUUGAAGGUACAGCUACCCUACUAUUACCCACAAGGGUAAAAGAACAACACCACUACUUGAUAACUGGAAAGUCCCUAUGUGUGUCAACCUCCGUGCUCCGUGGCAAGGCAGACUGGCAAAAAUGCCCAACCUUUACUCACAUUCGAGAAAACACUCCCAACAAGAUUGCUUGCUCAAAAAUCGAAAAGGCACAGCUCUCCGAAUUUCGAGAGUCAGACUCCCACCAGGAUUACUUGCUCAAAAAUCGAAGAGGCACCGCCUUCCAAAUCUCGAGAGCCAGACUCCCAAUAGGAUUACUUGCUAAAAAAUCGAAGAGGCACAUCUCUCUGAAUCUCGAGAGCCAGACUUCCAACAGGAUUACUUGCUCAAAAAUCGAAGAAGCACUGCUCUCCGAAUCUCAAGAGCUAAACUCCCAACAGGAUUGCUUUCUCAAAAAUCGAAGAGGCACCGUUCUCCGAAUCUCGAGAGCUAGAUCCCCGACAGGAUUACUUGUUCGAAAACCAAAGAGGCACCGCUCUUUGAACUUCGAGAGCUAGAUUUCCUUGGAUAAAUCUUGUCUGCAAUCUUCACACACAACAUCAGCUUUCCAGAUACCACAUACCACUUUUUCAAAGUGCUCUGACAAAGUUAUAACACAUGAAUCUUGCAACUUCCACUACAUUGCUAUGACCGAUAAGGGUAAAGGAAGAGCAUUACCACUUGCUGUUGGGACAAUUCCUAUAUAUGCCGACCUUCAUCCUCCACAACUAGGCAGACCUGCAAAUAAAAAAAAAUGCUCAACUUUUCUUCACAUCCGAGAGGGCACUCUUAGUAGAGUCUCUCGAAAUACUCAGCUUCUUUUCCCCCCGAUAAUACCUCUGCAAACAAGCCACACCAGAGUAAGAGUAUCUCAUAUCAUUAGGGUUCAAAACAAGAGAAUCCCAUAUCAUGCUUUUUCCCUGUCUUUUCCUUUGACCUUGUUUUUACCUGCAAGACAAGGAAAAAGAGAGCAAUCAGUCAGCACUUGGAAUCAAGCUUCCAGUCAGGAACUAACUACCUGGAACCCCUUGCCUGAUUACUUACCUGGCAUUGCUUUUGAGUACUCAUCUUUAACAUCUUAUGCUUCUAGAGAAGAUACCACACCUGCCUGAGGAACAGAUAGGGUACGUGAGAAUGAUAUAACACGUAAUAGAACAGAUAGGGUAUGUGGAGACAAGCGUAAUAGAACACGUGCCGAUACAUCCACUACUUUGUUAACAGCAAAAGUAUCCCAUAUCAUAGGGUCGAAUGUACUCUAGAUUUGAUGGACUUGUUUUGACCCUCAAAUUCUUAAGUCGGUCUUAUACUCUGGAGGAAACCAGAAAACCCUCCAGCCCAGUUCAAGAAUAAGCCUGUGGAAAGUUACUUCUUUAAAAGUAAAAGUAUCUUAUAUCAUCUAUUCUCCAUUUGCUUCUCAUUGUCCUUGUUGCUGUUUAUGACACAAAGAGAAGAAGAACAAUCAACCGAAAACCGAAGUCGAACCUCUGAUCCAGGUUGCUUGCUUGGAAGUCUGAUUGCUUACCUUGUCUGUUACCUCUUUCGGCAAAUCUCCUAGCUCGGCGACUUGGGGGACUCCUACUAUAGGGUUUGUAUCGCACUUGACCAAGCCUGAAACUACAAGUAAGCUUCAAGUGAAAUUGAUACAUUUCCUUGUACAUCUUCAUCGGUUAAAGAUACCACCCCUGGAUAGAGGAAAAGUACUUCCAGAGAAGAUGCCACAUCUACAUAUGAGACAGAUAAGGCAAGUGAAAAUGAUACCACACUUCGGUACUUAAAAGUUUCGUGAUUACUCAAUGGCUUGGAUCUUGCAAGUCCCCAACCGAGGAGCUUCCUUUACUCGGGAACUUAGAGGAGCACUGUUUGUACCAUACUUGACCAAUCCUGAAACUACUGAGCACCGGUCAACGUUAUACUGUAAAGGACCCAGAAGAGUUUCCCUCCAACCAGGAGGCUAAUCACAGUGCGACACAUGUCGACAUCAGAAGCCAAUCAUAGUGCGACACGUGUCAACAUCAGAAGUCAAUCACAACACGACACGUGUCAAUGUCAGAAUGAAACUAGAAACUCUCUUCUAUAAAUAGAGAUCAUUCUCUUACAAUAUUUCCUAAUGUCAUUUGUACUAAAUCAUUCACUAGUACUCACUAAAGGAGAGCUUGAACCUAUAUACUUGUGUAAACCCUUCACAAUUAAUAAGAACUCCUUUACUUCGUAAACGUAGCCAUUAUGGGUGAACCACGUACAUCUUGUGUUUGCUUCCCUAUCUCUAUCUAUUUACAUACUUAUCCACACUAGUGGCCGGAGCAAUCUAGCGAAUGACACAAACUUAACAAUUUCUGUUGUACCAAAGUCCUUGCUGAUUUUGUGCAUCAAUAGGUUCAAAUAUAAGAGAAAUUCUCUAUCAACAAUAUCUUUAUUCGCACUUCAAAUAUGAAUAUUACUGCCAGAGUUUUAUGAUGUAUCAAAAAAAUCAAAGCUCCUUAUCAAAUUUGAACCAAUGACUUACGCAUUACCAUGACGUUACUCUACCACUGAGUUAAAAGAGCUUGUUUGAUCCAAUUCCUAAUCACUUUGAUAUUGAUAAUGACUCCUUAACCAAUUUUUCCAUUUGAUUCAUUCUAGAAUUGCGAAGAUUCUUAGGUCUUUAAUUCGGAAUCAAAUAGUUCUUGUCUUACAACAACCAAAAAAAAAAAAAAAAAUCCUUUAUUUCAUUUUUAAGAAAAAAGGGUUCCACAUUAUAUUGAAGUACGGAUUUCAAUUCCUAUAAAAGGUACUUCAAAUUGUGAAUUCAUUGCCAAAGAUGGCUUAGAAUCAAUAGUUUAUUAUCUAAUGAAUUUUUUUGUUGAAUCCUGAUUGGUUUGAGCUUUGUCCUUAGUCUUGAAGUUAAAAGCCUUAGGAGUCAGGGAAUCACGCUCCAGGGCUGAAUUUUUCCCUUUGAUGGGCCUCUACUCUGUUAACCUUAGGCCUGUGGCUGGGGGGCCUUUUGCCACGGCCAUGACCCCUCUUGCGUCCUUUGUAUCCUCGAGAAGUGGUAGAAUGCGUUUCAGGUACAGCGUUCGAGCUAGUAAGUCUAGCUUGAUAUAUCUUCAUCAAAAGUUAAUUGUGCUUUUCAGCAAGUAGUAAGAGAGAUAUAUCAAAUUCAAAAACUUAAUGAAUUCUAUGCCCUAUUGGAUGACAAUAUUGCUGGCAUGAAAAGUUGAAUACGUCUUCUUUAGGAGAUCCUGUUUAGUCAAGCCCUCAUUACAAAACUUGAGAAGUGAUUGGAUUCGACAAAUUUCAGAAUUGUACUCAUUUACAAACUUGAAGUCUUGGAGGCAUAAGUGCUACUAGUCAUGUCUUGCUUCAAGUAAUAAGAUAUUAUUCUGGCGAUUAAAACGAUCUGCAAGAGCUAGCUAGAGAGUGCAUGGAUCCUCUUUUGUGUGGUAUUUGGUUUGCAGUACAUCAUGCAUAUGUCUUCAGAUGAAUUGUUAAUUUACGAAAUUGGGUUGCUGGCCAUAAAUUUGUGCAGGAAAAUAGAAAGUGGCCUAGCAGCAGGGCGGGUCGAGAAAUAGGGACCCAUCAAGGUAGCUGCAGGCUAUAGAGAGAAGCACAGAAACCUUUGGGCUUGAGCUCGGUGUGCGACAAGAGGCCCAACACAUGAGCCGCAAACAAAUGCCAAAACGCAGUCGUUUGGAGCAGGGGCUGCAAGCUUGGCUCGAAUUCGCCAAGUGGCGCAGUGCAGCUUAGCUUCUAGCCAUGCCAGGCUCGGCUUUCGGCACAGCUAAGCCGCGCUGUAUCAUUUUUACCAUCGGUUUUAGGGUUUUCAAAAUCCUAGUUCGUGAUUCUAUUUUCUUGUUUUUUUUUUUUUUUUUUUUUUUUAACUCACAUAUCAACAUAGCAAUGUAGCAUAAUAUAUGGUAAUUUGCAUGAUGGAAAUAUUAAUUGUUUAUGCAUGAACAUGCUAUAUAUAUAUUGAACAAUGUAUGCAAUAUACAAUUAUAAAAUAUAAGCAAAACGGGGGAUUCAUGCAUCAUGGUGAAUGUUUUCAUGCUAACAGUGGCAUAUAAAAUAUGUAUUAAUUGAAAGGCAAGGAUUUUCUCUUCCUUACUACUAUAAAUAAAAGCAAAAUGUUAACACACACAUUAGAAUUCACCAAUUCUUAUAAAAGAUACUAUAGAAACUCAUAAGGAGUUACAUAAUCACAUUUCUAACUAAAUUGGAACUGCAACACAGAAUUUUUUUUUUUUUAUACAAAGUAAUAGAAAUGCUGUAAAAUCAAAGUAAUAGAAAUGCUGUAAAAUCACUAGAUGUUCAAGUCUUGAACUUUUUAAGGACGAUCAUAAUAUCUCUCUCUACUUUUGUAUGUUGACAUAUCCAAACGCGUGUUCUCCCUUUCAGCCAUAGAUUUCUAAUCAACGCAUUACUAUUACCGAUCACUCCACUGCCGAAGCUGUUAUAAAUUCUAUUUCACACUUCCAUGGCGUAGAUCCCUCUAUAUUUAUCUUCGUAAUGUCCUGGAAUCCUAGAAUUUUCUGUUAUAUUUAAGUCAUUUCGAAGUAUUGAUUGGCAAGAAUGACAUAACUUGGAGCUCUGAGGAUGGUUACAGGUAAUCGAUCGGGUGCACUUAUUGAUCAUCAUAGUUCAUUUAGUUAUUGCACCAAGAGUGAUCACAAUAAGGGAAUGAUUUCCGCACACUCGUUUUCAUUUUUUAUGCAUUUCUGUUUAUGUCUCUUGAUUCUCAUUUGAUUUAUUCAAGUUAAAGAUAAAAAAAAAAUGUGAAGAUCACUUGCUAAAACGAAAACUACUUGCUGCGUGUUGUAUAAUUUUCUUUAAGUAUAUUGGAAGUUUUCAAGUUGGAAAUAAUCUUAAUUUCUUGUACACAAAUUUGUUUUCUGUUAGCAAAAUAUUUUGUUCAUCAACCUUUACAUCUGUUUGACUGUUUCUGCAUAAACAAAGAGAUCAGUGUAAGUAUUUGCCAUUUCUAGUCUUAGGGUUUUAUCAUCCUUCUUCCUAAAAUGGUAUGCAAGAGAAAUGGAAACGUGAUUACCAUAAUUAUGUGUAGUUAAAAAUUGAAGCGAAUAAAUUUGUUAGCUUCGCUGGUUAAGCUGGUGGAUGGAGAAGGUCAAUAGACCCUAUAACACUAUUUUAAACACACACACGUAUAAAUUUAGGUAUUCUUUCAAUGAUCAGUGUUGUAAAAACCCAGUCAAGUUUGAAACCACAAAAUCACUCAAUUAAAUUGUUGUCGUUUUAGUGUUUUCUCAAACUACUGUGUUCGUAAAUUUGUUGUUGCUAAAUAUAUAUGUAUGUAUGUAUGUAUAUCCAACAAUGGCAAUGUACAUGAGACUGGUGUUUAACAGCUUUUCAGGUAUUUGAUGAACUAGGUUCAACCAGUAUGAGAUUAAUAUUAAACUAGCCAACAUAAAAAGUACCUUCCUUUUUGUCAAAAUACAGCACAGUACUUUAUUCUCUAAACAAAACUCUCUUCAAAAUCAUUUUCAUUCUAAAAAUCAGCUCAUUAAAACUAUCAAUCAUUACUAUGUCAUUUGAUAUGAAAAUUGGUGCUUAUAGGCAUAAGUUAUCAGACCAAACAAUUUUCUAAUCUAGCUUGAUGAUUUUACAAGGAAAAUCCUUGAAAGAACUAAAUGCACUUUAACAUUUCAGAUCAUUAAUAUAUAGUUGAGCGACAUCGAGAGUUUGAGAGCGAUAUCGAGAGACAGUGAAUCCAAAACAAAUGGAAAUCUUAGGUACAAGAGUGUAUGCUCUUAAUAUAUAAUUGAGUCAUUUGCUUGUGUUUCAUAUUAAAUAUUAAAUUUGUGCAUGGCUUAAUUUCGGAAUGUCUAAUUUCGUGGGAUGCAUUCAGUUAAUUACAUCCCUCAUUUCUUAGGGUUCAAAUCUUGCAAAUUCUGAGGGUUUGAAAGCUUGUUUCAGAUUCGAAGGCAGUCCUAAUGGAUUUCAAACCUCCCUUCCAACAAAUCUGCAAGGCAAUACUCUUACAGAAUUCCACCCAUGAAGCAUUAUCAAGUCAUGAUGAUGACAAGGUUUCUCUUGUUGAGGAAUGUGAACUGCCGCUGAUAGAUCUUAGUCAUCUAAAUUUGGGUCACUUUGAGGGAGACAAGUGUAUGAAUGAGAUCGCUCAAGCAGCCAGCCAAUGGGGUUUCUUCCAAGUUGUGAAUCAUGGAGUUUCACAAGAAAUUAUAAAGAGUAUGCAAAAUGAGCAAAGGAGGCUAUUUCAUAAGCCUUUUGCAGAAAAGGUUGAAAAGAAUUUCUUGAAUUCAUCCAGCAAUUGUUACCGCUGGGGGAAUCCACAAGCUACUUGUUUGAGGCAGUUCUCAUGGUCAGAAGCAUUUCAUAUAUCUGUCACCGAAAUUCCAACGAUGAAUGAUCAUCACAACAGUCUCAGGUACGUAUAUGAUUAUAUAUUUGUUAAUUAACUAGGCUUAUGACUACAAAAAAAAAAAAGACAAUAUAUAGCAGUGGAGAUGCUAUACUUAAAUUUCUGAGAAUGAAAAUGACAUGGAUAAUUUAAGAACGAUACUUUAUAAAUUGUUUAGGUAUAAGAUAAGCAUACCUUGAUAAUGAUAUCUUGCUGAAAUUAAUUAGAAUGUAAUAUAUAUUUUUAAAAUUUGUGACUAAUAUGCAUUUAGAUACAAGAAGUUUCAUAUUGUGAUUAAUGUGUUGUGACUAAAUAGUCACUUUCUUGUGGUGCAAUAGUCUGAAUACUAAAUCAUCAUAAACUUUGAAGCUUUAACUGUAAAUCUUGAUUAAGGUUAUUUCGGAUGUGGGAUUUUUAUCAAGUCCCAAGAGAUUGUGGCCGAGCUAGUAAGGAAUAGAUCACAAAAUAUUAAUAGGAGAAAUUACAAUGCACCAUAUGAAUGUUGCAAAAGUAUACAAGAGUGAUCUACAAAUGACUACUUUUAAAGGAGUCAUUUACAAAUACCUCUUACAUACAUUUGUAAUAAUUAAUCAAGUAGCGCAUUUCUUAUCCCUCGUAUCUAACAUUUUGUAGUACAUAUUUUUCUCGUUUGCCCUAUAUCCCUUGAAAUAAGAAAUCCCUCCCUCAAAAAUAGUUUAAACUAUUUAAUAUAUAUAAUGUACGUAUAUAUAUAUAUAUAAAUUCUUUAUAAAAACAAGUAGACGUUGAUCAUAUAUGUUUAGAUGGGAAGUGAUUUUUUACACUCUUUAUAGUUUCUCACAAAUCUUUUUUUAUUUAUGACCAUCAGAUUAAGUCCAACAAAAUCAACAACCAAGAUUAAACAGAAGUGUGCAAGAGGCUAAAAAAUGUGUCAAACUCACUUCCCUAUUUAAAUUCAUCUGCUUUUGGUAGGUGUAUUUAUAUUCAUCUUUACAACGCUAACAAUUAACAUGGGAAGCUUUGGAUUAAACUACAGAGAAAUAGGACAGAUGAUCUUCUUGGAUCUCUUUAUUUAUUUAUUUUUUAACAAACGAUAUUAUUUAUAAAGAGAAAAGGGGUGAGCUUAGCCUCAGAAUAGGCUAACAGUAAUGUGAUUCAAAUUCGUCUUUGACGAGAAUCGUCUUGGUUCUUUUUAUUAACAAGUAACAACCAUCCCAAUUUUGAAUUAAAUUUUAAUGCGACAGUAUCGCCAUGUACUAUUUAUUGAUGUAUCAUAAUAUGCAUGAAUGACAUAAUUGAUGUACCACAAAUAUAGAGUAUAAAAUCAAUAAAUUACUUAUACGAUUUCAUAAUAUCUACAUUUGCAAGACAACUGACCAGUGACCAAGGAAAGGGAGAAAAAUUCAUGGACUAAUUCCUUCAGCCCUUUUUCUACCCCUACUAUAACAAAUUCCACUGAUGUGUUUGCCAUCUUUGUACUGGAGUGCUUGUACUAAUACGAAAGUGUUUGUGCUUGUUUUAGUUGUUAAGAGUUUACUUUUAUGUAGUUUUAAGCGAAUUAUCUCCAGAUCAAUAUAUUGAACAUUGAAGAAUGUACCCGUACAACAACUCUUAUAAUUGUGUUAUGGGAUGUAAUAUUCACACAUCUCAUUUUACUUCUCACACACCUUUUUAAUUUUCGACUGUCGGAUCGGAUGAAUUGAAGAAGAUCAACGGACAAAAAUUAUCAAAAGGUGUGUGAGAAGUAAAAUGAAAUGUGUGGAUAAUGCACCCCUUGUGUUAUUAUAUGAGGAUGUAUAGACAGAGUACCUUUAUUUUUAGAAUCCAUCUAUAGUAAUAUAGAUUGGCAUUCUAUGGUAAAGAGCACCUAAGUAUGUCGCAUGUCGUACUGAAAGUGAAGGACCUCUUGUCAUUUGACAAGCCAACACUCCGCACUUUUGCAGGCGUCAUGCAUAAUUUGGGGUUUUAGGCUUUGGGUAGUUUCGAUAUGGUUAGUGUUAUCUUCUUUGAAAAGGGAUCCUCUCCGGAUCUCUUCCAUCAAAUCUAAUAAUUUUGAUCUUUGAAAUUUAAUCUAACGGUUAAAAAUAUGGGUUCCUUUAAAAGUUAUAAUAAUUUUAGCUGUUGAAUCAAAUUUUAAGGACCCAGAUUGAUGGAUUUGGUGGAAUUGGUGGAAUUGAUACGGAGACGAUCCCCUUCCAUCUUCUUUUAACUUCUAUAUAUAUAUCUGAUUAUUUUUGUUCAUUGAUCUUUUUUAAUUCGUUUAAUUUGAUGAUUAAAAACUAAUAAGAGCGUGUGAAAAGUAAAAAUGAGUGUAUGAACAGCACCAUAAUCACCCUUUCAGUAGAGGUCAUUCACAAACUUGAAUAUUCGUAGUCUAUGUCCCUUGGUAUAUACGUUGUACAGAAGACACAUUGCCAUAACUGUAUAACCUCUCUAGUCCCUAGGGAUGUUAUACCACUUUUGAGUUAACUAAGAUGGAUUAUUAGUAGCGUUUCUUAAUUAUUAUUAGUAGGUCUUGUGUUCUCGUAAAUUGCAAGUUUGAUACUAAUUUAUUGUAGUUAUUUCAUUGUGUUACUCACUCAACCCUUAAUGUAAUUAUAUAAUUGUAUAUACAGAAAAUAUUAUGAAAAGUGACAGUUGUUUUGGUAAGCAAGUCCAAAUUCUGGCUACAUAUUUGUUGGCUUUGCCUAAUCCUAAUUUAAUUGGUUCUAACAAUAAGUGAGAAAAUAAAAAUUCCUACGUUUUCUUUAGUCGAAUGAUAGCAUCAGUGAGGAUCAAACUUGCACCAAGGUGCAUAUGCAUAAUUAUUUGUUGUCAUUGUAUAGUAAAGCGUCAUCUGCUAAAAAAAAACUCGUAUGUUGCUCAACCAUAAUUAUAUCACAUAAGCUAACAACACCAAGUGAAAAUGUUAUGCUCCUGCCCCAAGUAUUUUGUCACUACAAUAUGCUUCUAGUCAUAGACUAGUAAAUUAUCUAUGGUCAGUUUGAUUGUCAUUUUAGUUUUCAUCUGAAAACUUGUUUGAUAAUUGCUUUCAAUUUAAAAAACAAUUGAAAAUUUAAAAGAAAAACCAAGCCAAAAUUUGAAAACUUACAAAAGUAGCUUUCAAAUUUUAGUUUUCUGUUCAUUGGAAUAAAAACUAAAAACAAUAACCAAAAAUUUUUUGUUUUGAACAAAAUGGUUAUCAAAACCACCUUAGUUUGGUUUUUAUUUUCCCAAUUUUUGUCCGAUGUUUGGUUAAUCACCGUCUUACAGAUCAACAAUUGAAGCAUUCGUGAAGACGGUGUCUGGUUUGGCUAAACGCUUAGCUGAAAUACUGGCACAGCCUUUGGGUGUCAAACCGAAUUACUUUGAAGAGAAUUGUCCACCAAGAACUAGUUAUCUUCGACUGAAUAGAUAUGCUCCAUGUCCAUUUCCUUCGCAAGUGUUUGGCCUCAUCUCGCACACCGAUACCGAUUUCCUAACUAUAGUUCACCAGGACCAAGUAGGAGGCCUGGAAAUAUUUAAAGAUGGAAGAUGGUUGGCUGUUAAACCUAAUCCUGAAGCUCUUGUUGUCAACAUUGGGGACUUCUUUGAGGUAAUACUCGUAUAUUUUUUAAUUAAUUGUUCAAAUUUACUUCGUAUAACUAGUGAGGGAAAUGGGUUCCUAUUGACCAAAAAAAAAAAAACUAACCAAAAGUGAUUUUAGUUUUAAUCAAAAAGACAAAAUAAAGGUAGUACCAGGAGUGAUUUUUCAAAGUAAAAAUGUCAACGUUAAAAAUGAAUUGUACAAAGAGUGUUUCAUUAAGAUUCCAAAAAAAAAAAAAAGGGAAAAGGGUUUCAGUUUUACUAUGGUUUUUGUAAAGUUGAUUUUUUAAGGGUAUUAAAAACUACUCAAACGUUGCAUCGUGAGAUCACACACACAUAUAUAUAUAUAUAUAUAUAUAUAUAUAUAUAUAUAUAUAUAUAUAUAUAUAUAUAUAUAUAUGUGUGUGUGUGUGUGUUUUGCAGGUUGUCUUGCAUUCUAGUCCUUACUUUUAUUUAAAAUAAAAAAAAAGGAAUGUAUAAUUAAGUAUAACCGGAUUUUAGAUAUUGGGAUUAGGGUUUAACUCAAAUUAAGAUCUUUUUAAGUUAGAUAGGAACUUUGAUAUAUAUUAAAAUUCUAUUAACUACAUUGUAAAAGAUGAAGAAUUGGUACAAAGGAAGAUGAAGAUGAUAGAGAGAACCAGAAAGAUUGUAUUGAUUAAAAUGGAUAAAAUGUAUACAAAAGAACUUAAGGAAAUGAUAGCUAUACAAUCCCUUAUAUAGCCAUAUAACCUAAUUACAAUAAUACCUUCUAACUAUACUAACCAAUCUUAUCCUUAUGACAACCUACCAACACAUUUCAACUAACUAUAUUCUUCAUUACUAAGUAACCAUGUCAUCACUAAUGACUAUGGUUAAUACUCCCCCCUCAAACUGAACUUGGUGUAGCCAAGUGAUGGUUGAACGAGCUAGAUCGCUAAAACUGAUCUGGAACUGCAAGACCAAGAUGUAUGCAGGGGCUGUUGUCGUUCAUCAAUUCUGCCAUGUUGGCUAUUUCUCAUUUAUUGGUGGUGGUUCUGUGAUGGCACAGGAUGUUCCAAAGUACAUGAUGGUUGCGGGAGAAAGAGCUGUGCUUCGUGGUCUUGGUCUGAACAUACCCAACAAAUUUUUUACUGUGAACUGAGAAGCCAUAGUUGACACUGCCAAGAAACUAAAUCUACCAAGGAGAAUGACAAUCCCAAGAAACUAAACUACCAUGGAGAAUGACACUCCAAGAAACUAAAUCUACCAAUGAGAAUGACACUCCAAGAAACCUAAUCAGCCAAGGAGAAUGACACUCCAAAGCACAACACAAAUCUCAAACUUCUACUAAAAAAUACCAAAUAAGGAGACUGACACUCCAUGAACACAAAUCAUACUGCAACUGAGGAGAAUGAAACUCCAAAUCAUACUGCAACUUAGGAGAAUGAAACUCCAAGAUUCAUAGAAAGAAUGACACUUUCUUCUUUAAAUCGACAAGAAAACUAAUAUUUACAGAGAUCAACACAUCAAGACCACAGCUUCACUUCAAUUAAACCUCGAAAGUACAUCAAAGACCACAACUUCAAGAAAUAAGCGUUGCAGAUCACCAAACAAUUCCAAAUGACUGCUAUCAACACUUCGAUGAUCUAUUGCACAACCCAUAUACCAUAAUGCAUUUACCAAUUCAGAAGAACACAUAACCAAAAUCCCAAAUCAAAUUCGAGAAAAGAACCCAGAUGAAGAAAAUAUGGGCAAUUCGUCAAACACUUAGGCUGCACAUAGUCUAAACGUUCUGCCAUACCAGAAAACAGAGCACGGAUCAAAAUCACAGAAAAUCGAAUUCAGAAAACUGCUCUGAAAACACCACCAAGAUGAAUGAAGAAGUAGAUAAUCAACAGUGCAAAGAAAGAAAACUCUGCUCUCAGUCACACAGAGUCUCAUGCAUCGUCGUCUUCCGCCAAGACCGAGUGACUCGACGGCAAGGCUGUCGUCAACAAGGCGGCUACACGACUUUCCCAAGAACGAUCAACCCAACAAGAAUACGCAACCAGAACAAUCGCAGAAAACCAAUGAACAUGAAACCCAGAAAAUUCUCACCGAGACAUUAUCACAAACAGUUGAUAUGCUGGAAAGAAAACCAGUAAUCGAAAAACAAAAUCUGAGAACUUGAAUCUUGAAAACCCAGGAAACCCAGAAAAAUCCAACACUCUGAUUUCGGAGACAUCCAACAGCAAUUCACGAAGACUGCCACUCCGUCGUUCCAACUGUGCACCUCUGCAACAACCCUUGAAGACGAUAACAGCGGAAGAAUCAAGAUCGAAGAGGUAGUAAACCUGACAGAGUCCAAGAUCCCAUUUUCCAAUCAGCAACGCAGAAGAGAAAUUCCCAGAUGAAAAACAGAAAUAAUCACCACCGAAUCGAGAUUUGCAUAGCAGAAAGAAGAUGAAUCUCGGCACCAUAAUCUUUUGACGAUCCAGAUUUUGACCGACACUCUGUUCAUAGCCAAAAUCUCUCACAAAUCCCUAAUUUCUUUUGAAUUUCAUAUCCCCAAUUUCUGAAACUAUGUAGAUCUUCAUGAAAACCCAGGCGAAUUAGUCACCAUAUACUGACAACCAUAGCUUCUUUUUGGUAAAGAUUACGCAGAAUCAUGGGUGAACUUCGAUUUUGCUCCCCGCCAAAAUUUCAGCUCUAAAGAACGGUGUGCUGAAGGGAGAAGACCGACGUCUUCCAUGUGAAGGUCAAGUAGUGGUGCCGUGAUGGUCUCGCCAGCUUCAUCUUGAAACCCCGAGGAAAAACCCCAAAACUAAACACAACCCUCGGCGGAAAAAAAAAAUCCAGAUCCAAAGCUAAACACUUAACACUAAUCAAAUAAGCGAAAACAAAAGAAAAUAAUGAAGAAAGAUAGAAAGUAAUGAGAGAAGAGGAAUCGACCACCAAGAUCCAUGGCGUGAGCCUUGGUGGCUCUGAUACCAUAUUAACUACAUUGUAAAAGAUGAAGAAUUGGUACAAAGGAAGAGGAAGAUGAUAGAGAGAACCAGAAAGAUUGUAUUGAUUAAAAUGGAUAAAAUGUAUACAAAAGAACUUAAGGAAAUGAUAGCUAUACAAUCCCUUAUAUAGCCAUAUAACCUAAUUACAAUAAUACCCUUCUAACUAUACUAACCAAUCUUAUCCUUAUGACAACCUACCAACACAUUUCAACUAACUAUAUUCUUCAUUACUAAGUAACCAUGUCAUCACUAAUGACUAUGGUUAAUAAAUUUAACAUAUCAAGAUCUUUCUUUGCGCAAAAUAGAAUGUUUUUGGGUAGAAAUAUAUGAUGAAAUAUGUAUUAUCUUUUUGUAUAAUUUCUCAUACAUCUUGGUGAAAUAGUACCAUGGAAAUUAAGGUUCCACCCUGAAUCCAAUUAGAAGUUGGGUAAGUGCCCCAACUGCGCUUAAACCCUUGUAAGGUUUCUUAAUUCUCCGAAGUGAAACUCAACUUCAUGCCUUCAUGUAUAUACCUACUAUUUUAUGUUCCAAUUCCAGCUUUCAAAAUAGUCUCUUGGAAAACAUGUACCCUUAUAUAUAUUCGUGUGUGUGAUAUAACGCAGGCCUUGAGCAAUGGCGCAUACAAAAGCAUCAAACACCGAGUGGUUAGCACACAAGAAGUUGAGAGAUUAUCUGUGGCAUAUUUCUACUGCCCCUCCUACGAUGCUGUGGUCCAAAACUGCGGUAAUGAACCAUCAACUUAUAGGCAGUUCACUUUGAGGGAGUAUAAACUCCAAACUCAAAUUGAUGUUCAGGAAACUGGUGAGAAAGUAGGGCUCUCAAGAUUUCUCCUUUGAAAAACGUCUCAAAACUGAUGGCAAGCAAACUAUAUAUGUACCUGAUAUAUGUAAAAGAGGACAAUAAUCGUGAAAUAACAAAGUAUGGUAUGUGAACCAUUGUUUUCUUUCUUUUAUUCAUUAAGUGUCAGCUGUCUUCCUAUUGAAUUUGAAGGAUCGUGACCUUCUGGUCCUUCUCUAACAAAAUGAAGAGUUGUCAUGCAUUUAUACCAUCCCUUUCUAGUCUCUUUGUGAUGUUUUUGAGUAAAAAUGGUUGCAUUUUACCCUAUUUUGUGUUAGUGUGCAGUUACAUGUACUCUAGGAUCAAUUUGAGGGCAAAAGAAGUGAAAACAUGCCAUUUUUGGAGCCGAUCCUUAUUCAAACGUGGAGAGAAGUUUAGUGGCCUGUUUUGGAGCCCAAAUAAAGUUGUUACUUGUUUUGAAGUCCAAAUAAAGAAUCCAAGACGAAUCUGGAUUGUUAGAAGAUCAGGAACAGAAUGGGAAAGGAAUUAGGAUAUCUAGCCUGAUUUGGAGGUGCCAAAUAAGGCAAAAAUGUGCAAAAUAAAGGCUAAGUUGUUGGGAUCACUUUGGAAUAUCUUACAACCUUUUUUACCCCAUAAAAACUUGCAUCUUAGCCACUUUUACAUGCCCUUUUUAUUCUAGGCGAAUUACACAAUUCUGAUUACCUAUUUAUCCUCUCUUUUUCGUUCACUCUUAAAAUACCCUAGCUGUUCCAUACACUUUCACCAUUAUUGAAGACUCAUUGCAGAAGGCUGUUCUUUGAGAAUUUCUACAUCAGAAAUGCUUUAAGGGUUUCCUCUCCUAAAUUUAUUUUCACUUAUGUUGUGUAUUUUCGUUUUAAUUUUUGUGAACAUGAUGUGUAACUAAGUUCAUAACUAGGGAUUUCGAUGUAGCCUUGCAAAAUUGAUCCAUGUUUUUAAGUUGAAGUAUGCAGUUCAUCAAUCUGCUUCUUGUUUCAUUCACUGAAUCUAUUGUUAAAUUUGUUUGUUGAUUUUAAUGUUUGAUCACCAUUAGGGUUAACUACAAAUCAUUUAAUCAAGAUUAUAGUAAACAUCAUGCUUAAUCUUGGUGGACAUGUGAAUGAAUGAAGAGAAUGUUAUGCAAACAUCAUGUCAUGUAUUUUCUUUGGUUAUUUAAUGUUUUCUUGCAUGGUAAAGACUCUUAAUUAGGAACCGAAGUUGAACAUCCCGAUUAGGUUGCAAAUUAGGAGAAUUUGAUCAAAACCACACAUCAUAUGGCUGAUCAUAUAUAUGUAAAACGAACUCAGGAAACAGGUUGGUAGUUGAAUAUGAUAUAACUUUAUAAACAUGGAUUUGGUUUUGUAAUGGUGAAUUCGAAUCCUUGGCCUCAUUUCCAUUGCUUCUACAUCAAUAUAUUAUUCGCUACUACAUUCUUGCAUUUUAAUUUAAUUAAGUUUACAGCACAAAAACUACUCUCAAUUGGUUACUUUCAUACUUUAGUUAGGGUUCUAUCAAAGUUAGCAACUUAUAGAGGUCCAAUUAGUCCCUGUGGUUUGACACCCUUACUUGUGCCAUUAUACUAACCAUAUUUUUACACUAGGAAGGAACACAACAAGUUGCUGUCACUAGAUACUAUUAACUUGAAUGAAUUUUCCUAGCAAGAAUCUUUUAAUUCUCUUUAUUAUCAUCUCUAGAAAAAUUCAUUCAAGCUCGAUAUCAUUUGGGGGUGUGCUGUUGUAUCUAGAAUUUUGUUGUCGGUCACAUGUAGUUUUGAUUUGGAUAGUGGUUUUCUGACUUUUGAGAUUUACAACGGCUUUGUACCAUUUUUGGGUUUAAUUUUGAGUGGUUUUGUACCAGUUUGGGCUUUGAUGUGGAGAUUUGGGAAUUUGGAUUUUGAUCCCAUCAAUUUGAAAUGGCGUGAGUUCACUUAAAUUUGUGGAAGUUACAAGACCAUCGCCCCUCACUUAAAUUUGUGGAUGUUACAAGACCAUCGGCCUCGUCUUUGCCAAACUUGUCAUUUUAUUUUUCUGCCGAGAGGUUAACUUGGAUCCAGUGCCUUUGUCAAAGUAUUCCUUUGAUGCCUUCAUGUGUAACCACAUAUAUUGGUCCAGGAGCCCAUCAUGGUGAUGACAACGUGUAUAGCAUUGGGGCCUUGAAGCUUUCUCUUUCUCCCUUGUUAGUACUUCCUCCUCCAAGAUUGUGGACUUUCUGAAAGAUAUGUUUGUUACAGGACAUCUCUUAAGGUCACUUUGUUUUACUGCUUCUUUCUUUUCUUCUACUACUUUCCGGUAGUUUCCUGGCUGUUUCGGCAUAGAAUUUUGGUUGUGCGCUCAAAUUGCUUCCUGGUCUCCUUUUACAAGGACAAGGUUUGCAACCUAUUUGACACACUAAAAGAAACUUCUAACUGCGGUGCUUGACAAGAAUGGAGAAGGCAGUCUCUUGACUCUCUUCUCAAAACUUAUGCGCAUAGGGUAUUCACACCCUAUCUCUCUUUGUAGAAUCCAAGUUAUGGAAAUGAAUAGAGCAGAUGUUUCCUUUCUUGGCACGAAGGAGCAAAAGAGAGUAAUUUGGUUCAAUUUUGGCAGGGGACCAUCCCCUAGAAAUUCAUGGGGUUAGACAACAUCUGUCAUAUGAGUCAUGAGUAUUUGUUAGGAUACCAUACCAGAUGGCACAAUAUAAUGGUGACAAGUGUACAAUAGGUUGUUAUUAGUUAGUUGGUAAUAGGAGUUUGGCUAUUAAAUAGUGGUUUGUUAGAGAAAGUAAGAUAAUUAUGAAAUAAUAUGAGUAUUUGUUAGUAUUCUCUCUAUACAAUCAAGGAAGAAGUAGAGCAAGGUUCUAAUAUUGGUAUCAGCCAGUUCGAUCCUGUCAAUCCUUCCCUAUUGUAUGACGCGGCAAGCUUCACAGAAGAACAUGGAAUCAAUAGUUUCUAGUUUGGAGAGCAAAUUCAAUGAUUUCAAGACUUCGCAUGAUGAACUCAAAUCAACACAGGAUUUGCUUCUUCAUCAAAUGCAGUCGAUCAUGGCACAUUUUAAUAGCGGUUCUAUGGGUGACACUUUAGAAGCCACGAUCGGUGAUCCCCAAUUUCAAGAAAGAAUGUACCCAAAUUUCAACUGUCAAGAAAAUGGGUAGAAUUUCAAUUAUCAAUCGCGACCACCGUUCUUGAAGAUGGAUUUUCCUAGGUUCAAUGACAGGGAUGAUCCAUUGGGUUGGAUCUAUAAGGCUGAACAUUACUUCGAAUUCUUUAAUAUCGAAGAAUCGAAGAAAGUAAGGUUAGCUUCUUUCCACAUGGAAGUGGAAGCUCUCUAAUGAUUUCAAUAGGCAAAGUGUUUGGUUAAUUACCCAACAUGGGAUGAAUUUUCCAAGAUUUUGUGUCAGGAAUUUGGGCAUUCAGAGUUGGAGGAUUUAGCAGAGAAUUUGGUGAAGCUAAGACAUAAUGUUACACUACGAGAAUAUGUGAUGGAAUUCAGGAGAUUAGUUAAUCGAACAAGGGAAAUCAGCCCCUCACUUCUCAAGUUUUGCUUCAUUGGAGGCUUGAAACUUGAAUUGUGACAUGAUAUGAAGAUUUUGAAGCCCAAAGAUGUCAUGGAAGCAUUAGCUUUUGCACAGCAACUCGAUGCUAAAUUGGCAGACCUCAAGGUGAAAAUUUUCCCUAAAGCUUCUACAGUUCAAUCAACCUUUCGAUCUCCUUUGCAGAACACAAAUUCCAAUUCUUUACUUGAAAAUAGACCUAAAAUGCCUAAUGUGAGAAGACUUACUUUUGAAGAAGUAUAUUUUUAUAGGAAGACUGGGUUAUGCUUUCAUUGUAAGGAGAGAUACUAUAAGGGUCAUAGUUGUGAAAAGAAGCAUUUACUGUUGAUUGAUGUGCAAGAAGAUGAAAAUGGUGAUCAUGCAGUGUUAGAAACUGAAGAUUUGGAGAUUACAACUUAUGCUUUGUUUCGUACCCCUACACCAUCAUCUAUCAAAACUAUAAGAGUUAUUGGUUUUGUUAAACAAUGUCUUGUGACUAUCUUGGUUGAUUCAGGCAGUUCCCAUAACUUUGUGGAUUUUGGGUUGGUUAAAAGAGUGAAAGGAAACUUGGAUACAGGACAUACUUUUAAUGUCAAAAUAGAUGAUGGGGGCAAAAUGUUUACUUAAGGCACAUUGGCUUAAGUACCUCUUAAGAUUUAAGAUUAUGAGUGCGUAACAAAUUUAUAUGCAAUUUCAUUGGGAGGGUGUGGUGUAGUGAUCUGAGUGCAAUGACUCAGAACCUUAGGACCAAUCUUGUGAGAUUUCGAGAAGCUAUAUAUGAAGUUCCAAAAAGGCUCUUCAACAUACUGCAUUGCUAGUCCAGAGUCACCUUUGGAACAAUUAGAGGAUAUCUCAGCCUUGCAGAUGUCCAAACUUGUGCAGCAAGAAACAACUGUGGGGCUAUUUUAUGUCAUAUUUAGUCAGUGGAUGUGUUUAUUCAACAUAUGGAGCCUGGAACAGUGGAUCAACAAAGAGACCACAUUUCUGAAGAUCAACAACAGCAAUUAAAGCAGUUAUCGGAAGAUUAUGAAAUGGUUUUCAUCACUCCUACUACACUACCUCCUCAUAGAUCUCAAGAUCAUCAAAUUGCAUUGUUGGAAGGUAGCAAACCACUUAAUAGUAGACCAUAUAGGUAUGGUCCAGUACAUAAAUCAGAAAUUGAGAAAUGUGUGAAGGGAUUAUUGCAAUCUGGUUUCAUUAGAACCAGUAACAGUCCAUAUUCUUCUCCAGUGAUCUUAGUAAUGAAAAAAAAGUGGACUUGGUGCAUGUGCAUGGAUUACAGAGGCUUAAAUGACAUUACCAUCAAAGAUAAGUUCCUUGUUCCUCUCAUUGAUGAGCUACUCGAUGAAUUAUUUGGUGCACAAUUCUUUUCUAAACUGGAUCUGUAACACCCCGGUCCCAAAAUAUUUGUAUAUUUUGGAAAAAUAAUUAUGGUAGGCCCAACCUAAAAACAUAGCUAAUUUAUUUUCUUCUCUUGGAUCAAUUUCCAUCUAUAUACUAAUUCUUGAAUAUUUAAACACAUUUAUUUUAUGGCUACAUCUAACGUCUCGUUAGAUUGCCUACGUACCCUCAACAGGGAUCAAGCCUUUCGUAGUUCAAAACUUCAAAAUUUAAACCAAAUCCGAAAUAUUCCUUUAAUCCAGCAUAUACCAAAAUCGUAAUAAUAUUCAAACCACAGCAAUUUUGAUCUUGAAGACAUAAUUUGAUAACGAAAUUCGCAUAAAGAGCAAUAGUCGACUUCUUGGCCGUGCGUCGCCGCACCCGCCGAAGCGGUUGGCGGUCGGCCGCCUCGAUUCGUCGGAAACUCAACUAUUUCUAAAAAUUACCAAAAAUUACAGGAAUGAAGAUCUCAAUGUGUAGCGUAACUUUCAUACCUGUGACCAAGGGCAAUUUAACUCGGAAAUGCUCCAAUUUGCCUCGAAUCCGUCGGGAACCCUAGAAAUGGGUGUUCUUGAUUCGACUCCAUAGCAGCUCCGACGCCCCAAAACUUGUUUGGGCUUUAUUCCUGGGUUCUUAAGGAACAUAUGGGUGGUGGAAAUGGGAGAGUUUGCUUCAGAUUUGAUGGAUCGCAACAAUGAACUCGCGCACCCCCUGGGGUUUUGCACAUUUUCAGAGCCAAUACCUAUCUAAUUUGUGAUAGAAUCAGUCAAGUGGAGGUCAUGGAACCUUUUUAAGAUGGUUUGGUAGUAUAAUUCGUCGAAAAAACCGAUGAAAAGCCACCGGAGGAGGUGGAGGAAGCCGGGUCGGGUUGAUGACAUAGAACCGGGUCGAAGGAUCCGGUGUACUUCCUUCCCCUCAUUUCCCCUCCUUUCUCUCUUCUCUCAUUGGUUACUCUCUCUCUCUCCCCCUUUUCUGAUUGGCCCUUCUCUCCCUCAUUUCCCUCCUUUAUCUUCCAUCUCCACCGCCUAACCUUUCUUACUUUUAAUCUGGGCCACACACAUGGCCUUCCAGAUUUGGCUCCAAAAAUCUUGAGCAUUAUAGAAAUGAUAAAUUUACCAUUUUAUCCCCGACUUUAAACGUUAAUAACUUCUUCGUUCUAACUCCGUUUCACGAACGGUUUGCGCCUACACGUUCGUGAGGUCGAGCUCUAUUUAAAAAUAUAAAUUUUGACUUCGAAAGGUCUAUGUAUUUUAAAUAAUUAAGGUCCAAACCUUAAACCUCGUAACUAGUUUAAUUUAAAACUAAACUUACACAAAUUAUUAUAAAUUCUUGAAAAAUCAUAUAAAAGCUCAAUAAUACAAAUACGUUGAUUAAUAUAAUUUCCGGAAACAAAACUGUAAAACUUCUCGAUUAAAUUCUUCAUAAUCAUAAAUCGAUUUAUUUCGAUUUUCUCCACAUAUGCAUAAUUAUGAAUAUAUAAUUCAUAUAUUUAAAUUUUUAGGGUAUUACAGGAUCUGAGAGUUGGUUACCAUCAAAUGUAUGCAUCCUAGUGAUGUAGAAAAGAUAGCAUUUAGAACUCAUGAUGGCCAUGAUGAAUUUCUAGUUAUGCCAUUUGGUUUAACUAAUGCACCAGCUAUAUUUCAGUGUCUUAUAAAUGAUAUUUUCAGGCCACAUUUAAGAAAAUUCAUCUUGGUUUUCUUUGAUGACAUCUUGGUUUAUAGCUUUUCUUGGAGUUCACAUUUAUAACAUUUGAAAAUGGUAUUUGAUACAUUAAAAGUGCAUAGUUUAUUUGUGAAGAAAUCAAAGUGUGUUGAAAAUCUCAAGUCGAAUACCCAGGACAUAUUGUAUCGAAACAUGGAACACAUAAGCAACUCAAGCAUUUCAGACUUUAAAACAGGCAAUGUUGUCCCCUCAAGUGCUUUCUCUACCUAAUUUCAGCAAGCCUUAUAUCAUAGACAGUGAUGCUUCAGGUAUAAGAAUUUGUGUAGUUCUCCAACAAGAGGGCAAGCCUAUUACUUUCACUAGUAAGGCCUUAUUUCCUCGAAAUCAAGUUUUAUCAACUUAUGAGAGAGAUGCUAGCUAUUAUACAUGCAAUACAUAAGUGGCAAUCUUACUUGGUGGGAAACCAUUUCAUCAUACAAACAGAUCAUCAUGGCUUAAAAUAUUUCCUUCAAGGCCAAGCUCACACUCCAUUUAAGCAAAAAUGGGUCGCCAAAUUGUUGGAAUUUGACUAUGAAAUUCAAUUUAAGCAAUGGAAGGAUAACCAGGCUACUGAUGCCUUAUCUAGAUCUCAUCUCAACACUAUUUCACCAUCACUGUAAUCCUUAGAUGAAGUUCAAUUGGAUGUUAUCUUAUCCCUAUUCUAGUUGGAUGAAUGAUCUUCAGAGACACAUUGAGAAAGAUCUUUGGAUAAUUUCAAAAAGACAACCAGUGCUUGCUAUGGAGGGUGAUUCAGCACCUAUUGCCAAUCUAAAAUUUCAGUGUGAUAAUGGUUUUUUAAAAUACAAAGGAUGGAUUAUGAUUAGUCCUACCAAUGAAUAGAGAGAUAAAAUCUUCAAUGAACACCAUUCUAGCCCCACUGCAGGUCAUGAAGGAUUCUUGAAAACAUAUAAGAGAGUGUCAAGAUCUUUCUAUUGGGAAGGGAUGAAAAAAGAAAUUUAAGGAAGAGUUACAGCUUAUGCAACCUAUCAAAUGCACAAAUAUGAGAUCUUAUCUUCUCCAGGCUUGUUACAACCUUUACCAAUUCCAACCAAGGUUUGGGCUGAUAUUUCAAUAGAUUUCAUUGUGGGAUUACCUCAUUGUAAGGGAAAAUCUGUGAUUUGGGUGGUGGUAGACAACUUGUCCAAAUAUGCACACUUUGUGGCAUUAUCACACAUAUAUUAUGCUGUAUUAAUAGCUCAGUUAUUCAUUGAUCAUUUUUUAAGUUGCAUGGUAUGCCACAAUCAAUAGUGAGUGACAGAGAUCUAGUCUUCAUGAGUAAAUUUUGGAAAAAGUUUUUCAAUCUUCAGGGAUUAGCCUUAUGUUUUAGUUCAGGCUACCAUCCACAAACUGAUGGCCAAACUGAGGUCCUCAAUAGGUGUUUGGAAACCUAUCUUCGAUGCUUUUGUAGCUUGCAACCUAAGAAAUGGGCAAAUUGGCUCUCUUAGGCUGAAUAUAGCUAUAACACUAGCUAGCACAGUUCUACCAAAAUAACUCCAUACGAAAUGUUAUAUGGAUAGCUUCCUCCAAUCAUUACUGCAUAUGAAAGUGGUACAACAAAGGUUGACUCUUUGGACCAGGCUUUACAUGAAAGAAACAGAAUGUUAGCUCUUCUAAAAACUAAUUUGGAAGCAGCUCAGUGCAGGAUGCGAGUUCAAGCAGAUAAACAUAGGAUUGAGAGAGUGUUUGCAGAAGGAGAUUGGGUUUAUUUGAGAUUGAUACCAUAUCAACUCAAGUCUUUGGCUUCACAUUAUUUUCACAAACUGCAACCCAGGUUAUAUGGUCAUUUUUCAAAUUUUGUCUAAGGUUGGUGUAAUUGCUUAUAAGUUGAAAUUGCCUAAACACUCGAAAUUACACCAUGUGUUUCGUUUCUCAUGUCUGAAGAAACACUUGGGAUCACAAGUGCAAAACACAGUCCAUUUACCUGUGAUUACAGAAAAUGGAAUACUGCAAGAUGUACCUAUUGCAAUUUUGGAAAGAAUUAUGACUAAAAAGGGUAAUGUUGCUGCCACAAAAGUCUUAGUUCAAUGGCAGAACCAUACUCAAGAAGAUGCUACAUGGGAGUUGUGCCAUGAACUAAAGUUCAAAUUUCCAAAAAUUGUUAAUCAUUGAAGUUCAAAUUAUUGUUUUUCUUGUUUCUGAACUUUGUAAUUCUAGGUUGUUGUUGUUGUUCUGUGUUUUUCAAUUGUAAGUUUGGUUUUAAAGGGGGGUAUUGUUAGGAUACCAUAUCAGAUUGCAUAAUAUGAUGGUGACAAGUGUACAAAAGGUUGUUAUUAGUUAGUUGGUAAUAGGAGUUUGGCUAUUAAAUAGUGGUUUGUAAGAGAAAGUAAGACAUUUAUGAAAUAAUAUGAGUACUUGUUAGUAUUCUCUCUAUACAAUCAAGGAAGAAGUAGAGCAAGGUUCUAAUACUCUUUACUUGCAAGACAAGACAAUUUACCUUGCGGGCUAGCCGAUAUUGCAUAUUUUUGCAGAGGUUAUUUAGUCCAUAUUAGGACUUUCUUUGACUUGGAUGCCAAGGAAAAACUCUCCAAAUAUUUUUCCACGUAUUUUAUCGCCUCUUUCUUUUUACUGAAUUUUUUUUAUGCCAAACAACCAUACAAUAGAAAACCAAACGAUCUAAACAAGAACAGUAGAAAGACAAUCUCAUUGCCUCUCUCUCCAUCUUGGUCGAUCUUACGUUCAGGUAUGCUAUCUCUCUUAAUUACUGGAAAGUCUACUACUGUUGAUUUCAAAGGGUUUAAGGCUUAGGAUUUAGAAUUUAGGGUUUUGAAAAUGGUAAGCAAAUAUUCUUAGAAAUAUUUCCCCUUUUUGUUAGAAAGUUUGGAACUUUGGCAUCCAAAGUGAAGGUUCCAAUCCUGAUUUCCAAAAUUUGAUGAUUGAUUUCAACUGAAAGUAACUGUAAUCAUAAUUUUGAUGGAGUUGUAGUUAAGGAAGGUAGAAAAAACUGAAACAUACUAUUAACUGACACUUGUCACUCAGUACUACCGUCUGAUAAUAUUUCUCUUCGUUUAGAAGUGAGAGGUCUUAGGUUUGAAUCUCAUGGAUGGCGAAUUUGAUACCAAAUUAGGUUGUUCAUUGUGACUUAGCCGAACUAUCCCUUCCCCUCUAGUGUAAAAAUAUCAAACCAACUAAUUAUCGUUGUAUAAAAAAAAUAAACAAACGCACUAAUGCGCACUCAUACAAUCUAGUCCACCUUUUUGGUUAAUUUAUAUAUAUCAAACCAACUAAUUAUCGAAACCAACCGUUUAUAAGACCAAACCCUAACUUGCUUGCGAAUUAAGCAACUGCCAAAGAUUCUUAACUCUAUUAACUAAUCAAGGCAAAACAUAGUGUAAAAAGUACGAAACAACUCUUUAAGUAUUAUUCCACGCAAAGGGAUAAAAUAAAAAAAAUUAAAAAAAAAAAAAAAGAUAUAAAACUCUUUACUUAUUGAGUCCAAAUUUGACAUCUUCUUGUCGAUGCCUCAUGGCCAAAAUAGAAAUCUUCCGACAUCCGUAAAACUAAAGUGCUAAGAAACAAACAUUAAUGAAAAAUGGGAAAAUGCGGUGGCGGCUUUAACGGGAUCUUUCUAAUUUUAACCUCUAAAAUACAUCGACAACAUCGUUUUAAUUUUAACCGUUAAAAAAAGGAAAAAAAGUAAUGUUAGGUAGGUUAAAUUUUAAAUCAAAUUUGCAAACUAAAAUGUUGUGUCACCAAUAAGAAAUAAACAAGUUAAUCAACACUUAAGUAAUAAUCUAAUCAUCUACUUCCAUGUCAUUUAGUUUACAAAAUUUAGCUUACAAAUUUAGUGUAUGUAAACAGGACAAGGAUUGUCUGCCCUCCGCUUCCGGUGCCCUCCCCAUGCCCUCCUGUUUUGUGUGGUCACGGUUAAGCCAUGUCAGCAUUUUAUAUUGUUUUUUUUAUAGAUAUAAUAAGACAAAAAUGAAUAGUAAUAUAGAUAUUGACGUGGCUUAACCGUGACCACACAAACAGAAGGGCACGAGGAGGGCACCGAAAGUGGAGGGCAGACAAUCCUUGUACAUGUAAACAUUACCCAAAAGAAAAAAAGGUUGUUAUGCUGCUUUUGGUUGUGAAAAAGUGAAAACUUUUGUAAUCAUGUAGUACUAUGUCAUAGUGUUUUGGGAACCUAAAUAAAAAGCUUAUAAUAUUGUUUACUUUAACGAAAAAUCAUAUUUGUAUACUAAAAAGUCAAUCAUGGUACUACUCACUUUAUCUUUUAUUUUGUCCUUAUCGUUAAACUCAAAGUUUUCAAGUCAUUUUCAUUAGUUUUCGUUUUUUUUCUUUCUAGUUUUUGUUGUGGGAAUUUUCUUUUUCUUGACAAAGCUUUAGUUAGAGCAACUCCACCAUUAGAGCCCUUCCCCCAGGCAAUCCAUUAUUCAAUCCACCAUGUGAACAGUAACUACCAUAAUGAACAGUAACUGUCUUUUGCAUCUCCCCCCUUUCACUUGAAUAGCCCUGGCACUAGGCAAUAAAAUAUUUAUUAAUUUUUUUUUUACAAAAUAAUACUAAAUAAUUUUUUUUGUAAUUUCGUAUAAGAUAUUUUAAAUCGUUCUCGUUAUGCCACGUGUCAUUUACCCAAAACGACUAUUAUUGGUCAUAGAUUUCGAUAAUUUUUAUCCAAUGUCAUCGUGCCACGUGUCGUUAUCUUUUCAGAAUCUUUGAGGAUAGAUUUCGAUCAGAUUUUAAAUCAUUCUCGUUGCACCACGUGUCAUUAUUCGAAAAGAUAAUUAUUGGUGAUGGAUUUCGAUAAAUUUUUUAUCCAAUGCCGUCGUGCCACGUGUCGUUAUCUUUUCAGAAUCUUUUAGGAUAGAUUUCGAUUAGAUUUUUAACGAAUGGCGGCAUGUCACGUGGCACUAUCUACAACAUAAUCAUUUCAGAAUCCUCCAUAUAAUCCAUCAUCCAUCCUUUUAAAUCUUACACCAAUUUUCUCAAUAUCUCUAUCAUUAUUCAUAGUUUCUGUUUCCUUCUUCACCAAAUCAAAAUCUGUAUCAUUAUUCAUAGUUUCUACUUACAAUGUCUUCUUCUUCAAGCAUGAUGUGGAAAAUCGAUCAAGAAGAGGAAGAAUUGUUUAACCAAUCUGAAGGAAUGUUCAAUCUCCAUAUAGCUCAAAAUGAGAAGGAAGAGGGUGAGGAGCGGAGAAGGAGAGAUGACGAAGCAAGAAUGGCCAGAGACUCACAUUCUCGUCGAGUCAUUCAAG